This 44898-nucleotide long non-coding RNA is filed under the name Lotus japonicus. RNAcentral describes it as "long non-coding RNA (LJAP_LNC000040)". Lineage: Eukaryota; Viridiplantae; Streptophyta; Magnoliopsida; Fabales; Fabaceae. The record is from RNAcentral.
UCUUUUUAAAAAUCUACACUCCACCCCAUUUUUUAUAAAGAUAAAUUUUAGUGACGAAAACAAAUUCGUCACUACUAAAAACUAAUUACUAAUUAGUAAAAAUUUAAAUAAAUUUAAUGCAUAUACACUAUCAUACAUUAAUUUAUGAAAAUAAUUUUACUGAAUUAAAUUUAAAAAAACCAUCCACUUUGUCUGUUAAGUCCACGUCCCAUCUAUCUCCAAAUCAUAUUUCUCACCACAAACGGCCACCACCAAGCCUUUACUCCCUUUAACACGGCUCCACUGUCCCACAAUGUGAAACCCCAUGGCACAUUCAUGCCUCAAAGUUUUGUUGCGACCUGAACCCCAGAACGUGAAUCGCACAUCCCUAAAGCCACUUGUUCAACUACUUCUUGUGAAUUUCACCCCUUUAAGUUGUGAGCGAACGCUCUGUUGGUCUUAGAUAUUGUUGGAUUUUGUUAAAAACGAUGCUCCACCGCCUCGUUGGGCUCUAAUAACCUCAGAUCCACUUCAUAUUUUCAUAAUUUUGUUUCUCUAUUUUCUUCACCCAUUUGUGUUGCUUUUUUGGCCUACAACCCAAUUUUGAAAAUUGGAGGUAUAAAGAGAUUAUUUUGAUUAAAAUUGAAUUAUUACCAAAUAUGAAAACACAAGCAUGUUUCACUAUGUUCGAGAUAUGGUUUGUAAAUCGGGCAGGUGUGCUAUUGCAUUAUUUGCAUUAUGAAUUUACGGAGGAAAAACGCGAUUGAGAGAAUGAUGAGGAUUGUGAUGUUUUCAUUUUUAAAUUUAUUGGAUUAUAUUGAUUUUUUUUUUGAAAUUAUUGAUUAACAAUUUAAAUAAUAACUAAUUAUUAAUGAAAAAUAUUUUUCGUCACUAAAUUUGCCUCUAUAUAAAAUGGGGUGGGAUGUAGAUUUUAGAUAAGAAUGGGGUGGAGUGUAAUUCUAACAAACCUUAAGAGGGGUGAGUGUACUUUACUCAAAAACAAUUAUACUUAUUAAUACUUAUUAAGAAAAUAUACAAUGAGAACAUUAUUUAAUUCAGUGGUUUUUAAAAAAGUUUCAUAAUCUUUCAUUUUUAUUCUUAACUAGUCCUUUUACCCGUGCGAUGCACGGGGGAUUUUAAUUUUUAUGUAUUGUACGAAAAGUUUUAAAUUUGUGUUAUGUUUAUUUAAAAAUAAUUUAUAAAUUAAAAUGACAAAAAUAAUUUUGAAUAUAAGAAAACACGAAUUUGUAAUUUUUUUACAUGGAGAAUGUGUUUGUUUUAUUUUGUAGAAGAGCAACUAUUUUAUUUAUUCGUGGGUUUUGCGUUUAAUGUUGCACUAUCUAAUUUAGUUUCUUAUAGAGGAAAAAAGUUCUUUUGUUACCCUGCGGUGCACGGGGUAUUAUUUAUGUUUAUUGAGUUAAAAUUUAAUAAAAUAAUAUUAUCUUUAUUAAGUUUAUAAAAACAAAGUUAUGAAUUAAAAAAUUUAAAUAAAUUUUAGAUGUAAAUUAACUUAAAUUUUGUAGUAUUUUUUGUGUGUCACAUGUAUUUAAUUUGUAUUUGUUUUGUAUUAAUGUAAUAAUUAUACUAAUUUUUGUAUUUUACGUUUAUUUUAAUGUUGAACUAUUUAAUUUGGUCUUUUAUAUAAUAAUUUAAUUUUUUAUUUUAUUGAGAUGAAAUAGUAUAUGAGUUUAAUGAAUGUACACUGUCAGAGUAAAGAAGUUUUACACUGUUAUCCAAUUAUUGUAUGUCAUGUGGGAUAAAUGAUUAUAUUCUUCAUUUAUUUUAAUUAAAUUACAAUUAUAGUUUCUGAUGUGACGGAAAACAAUUGGAUGUUUAUGUAAAAAAAAAUUUACACCAACAGUGUAUCUUCCUUUUUCUCAUAUUAUAUAUGAGCUGAUAAAAGACAUUGAAUAAGUAAUGAUUAUACUAAUAUUUUUUUGCAAACAGAAUGAUUAUUACAUUGAGAAUGUAACUUGAGAUUUUGAUUGACCCGCGAGCUUUCCCGAAAUAUAAGAAAAAAAAUAGAAUAAGACAAUAAUUAGUAUAAUCGGAUAAAUAUAAUGGAAUUUUAUUUAUUUAUUAAUUUAAUUUUCCCAUUCAUUAACUACAUGGAGCAAGAAGGUUGCAACUUUUUUUGUUGUAACACAUUUUUUUUUGCAGCAAAAGAAUUAUUAGAUAUAUUAAUUAAAAAAAAUUGUGCAAAGAAAUUCAUGGUAAAAUUCUCAUUAGUAUAAUUUGAUUCAACUGUUUAAUAAAAUCAUCACAAUACACAUUUUAUCCUUAGUUUAAUAUUUAUAUAUUUUUGAAAUCCAAAAUAAUUUACCAUGUCCUAUGGAAUUUUGUAAAUGAUAUUAACAUUUUAAAUAUUAAUAAUAAUAAUAAGAAUAAUACUUAUUAUAUUCUAUUUUUUUUUGAUACAUCGGAAAAUACUUAUUAUAUUAUAUAAUCCUAAUAAAAUUAUCAUGCAUGUCCUAUGGAUUUCAGUAACUGAUAUUAAAUAUUUUAAUUAGUGUGUAAAUAAUAUUAACUAAACACCAAUAAAAGUGUAAGUGAAAGGGUUAGUAAAAGGUUUAUUGUUGCAUUCAUAUCAACUUUAAUGUUAAAAUUUUAAAAUUAAUUAUGCUAAAGAAUAAUAUUAAUAUUUAUUUAUGUAUUGUAUAAAUUUGAUAAUAAUUUUUCAUGCCUUGUGAAAUUCCGUAACUAAUAUUAUAAUUCCCAAGAAAAUUUAUCAUGUCUUUAGGAAUUUCGUAACUAAUAUUUUAUUUUUAUUUGAUGUGUAAAGAAUAUUAACUAAAUAAUUAAUGGUAAAAUCUCAAGCUUGAAUUGCUGAAGAUUAAUAUAAACAUUAAUUAAUACAUUUAGGUCUCACAGGUUUAGAAAGAGGUAGCUGGUUCUUUUGGUUUUGUUGGAGGUUACUCUAGUUCUCUUUUUGUUGGCGGCUGUUUGUAGGUUUUUGGUGAUUAACUUUUUGAUGUACUAAUCAUUCAUUCCCCCUGGAUUUGGAUUUGAGCUUGUUCUCAAACCUUUUAUCAUUUAUAUAUAUAUAUAUAUAUAUUUAUCUUUUUGCUUUAAAAAAUAUUAAUUAAUACAUUAUAUAAAUCCAAAAAUAAAUUAUCAAGGAAUUCCAUAAAUGAUAUUAGUUUUGUUUUUAAUUUUAGUAUUAAUAUAAAUUAAUUUAUUACAUAUGACUGAAAUGUUUUGUGAUGUCUUAAGGAAUUUCGUAACUGAUAUAAGUUUUCUUAGAUUAAUAUUAAUAGAAAAUUAAAAUAAUUCAUCAUGUCCUAUGUAAUUCUAUUAUUGCUAAUAACCCACUAUGUAACUAAUAUUAAUUAUAAAUUUCUUGAAGCAGGAAAGAUUAGUCCAACAUUUAUUUUGGUAUUCAUAUCAGAUUUAAUGUUUAAACUCCUACCUUUUGCACCCAAAAAGAAACCUACCUUUAGUUGUUAAAGAUUAGUAUCAAUAGUAAUUAAUUUUUUAUAAAUAUAGAAUAAUUUACCAUGGCUUAUGGACUUCAAUAAUUAAUAUUAAUUUUAAUUUACUGUGUAAUUAAUUUAAUUAAACACUAAAUAAAAAAAACGUAGGUGAUAUUAGCCAAUGGAAUCAUUUCCUCUUGUAACAAAAAAAAAACCAAUGGAAUACCAUCUCAUAUUAACCAUUUAUUUUGGUGAGUAAUUUUGGGAUCCUUAUAAAUUUUAAUGUUAAAACAUCUACCUUUAUUUUUAAAUAAAUAUUAAUUAUUAUAUUCUAGAUAUCUAAACUAAAUGAUCAUGUUUUAAGGAAUUUCAUAACUAAUAAUUUUUUUUAUUUCAAAAGAUUAAGAACUCUACAAUCUUAUUUGUCUUGUUACAAAAACAAUUAUUUUGAAACUAUAUGAAAAAAAUUAAGAAUUCUGAAAAUGCGUAAUGUUACAAUAGAAAAAUACUAAAUUUGUAUUAGGGUGUAUUUUUCUUGUUUUUCGAUGAAGCAAAAAGAAUAUUUUUUUUCUUCAAAUAUCAUAUUAUUUUAACCACUUUAUCCUUAUAAUCAAUCACAAACUAAUACCAUUUAACCAACUAAUUAACCACUUAUAAAAAAUAAUAUAAUUUAUCGUUACCCUCUUAGAGUAUGAUAAGGUUUGCCUUUCUUUAUAAAAGAAAUAUCUCUCUUCAAUAAUAAAGUUGUAUCUUUGUCAAUUCACGAAGAAUAAAUCAAUUAAUAUUGAAUAUAAUUGAUUCAUUCUGAUGGUGGCUAGACAAAUUAAGAAAGCUCAAACUUUUUGAUGCAAUAACAUGAUGUUCAUAGCAUACCCUUAAAAUUAAGUAUAGCAAGCAACACUUGGAAAUAACAUAUCAAGAAAGUUGAAGAAACAAAGAAAAGUCAUUUACAACACUAUUGUUGUCAUGCUUCUCAGAAUCAUCUUUUUCUUCUUCUUCGUCUUCCUUCUCUUUCCCCCUCUUCGUCCUCUUUAAUAGGAGUUGUACCACCUGACUUAUAUCUUUCCCUUUCCCACUCCUUUCAAUAUAUGCAUUCAACAAUAAAUCAACUUGUGUAUUGAAUGACCACAAAUAGAGAAAAAAAAUUGUUAGACUUAUAAGAGAGUUAGUGGAAAGUCAGUACUUAUAAUUGUUGUAGUGAAAAGUUUUUAUAGGUAUUGAUAUUAAAUUUUAUGUUUAAACUGUCAACUUUUAAUAUUUAGGAUUAAUGUCUUGUAUAUAUCCUAACUAACUAAUCAUGCCCUCUAGAAUUUCUUAACUAAUAUUAAUUCUAAUAUGUAACCAUAAAAUUCUUCAAUAACCACAUAUAAAUGAAAAAGAAGGCAUUGAAACUUAUAAGAGAGCUCCUCCAAAAUGAGGGCAUUGAAACCUGUAAAUUAAUGAGUGACAAUUCUUGGCCUUAAAAAAUUAAAAUGAAUAUCUUUUUAAUAGAAAGUAGAAGAUAGGUUUAGAAAAUAAUUCUCUUUAGGAUAGCUCAAGUGGUAGGAGCUGGGGUACAUAUGAGUUGGGUAGGGGGAGGUCCAAGGUUCGAUUCCUGGAGGGUGCAAUUUAUCUUUUCGAUGUAUCAAAAACACAUUAGGAGAGAAUCAAUUGAGAUAACAAUAUGAGAAGAUAAUAAAAUAAAUUAUGGUAUUAGGGAACUUCUUGAGCCCGGAGAUACUUCAUAAGAUGUUAUUUUUGAAAUCAUGCACCCAUAUGAGGAAUAAAAUAAAGAAGAUAACAACCUAAUGUGAAAAAAAAAAUUGAAUUGAGGAAUAAAGACUGUAUCUCACUGGAGUGGAAGAGGAGAAAUGAGAAUAAAGAAGAAAACAACCUAAUGUGAAAAAUAAAUUGUAGAAAAAUAAGUCUGAACUCUGAAGUCAAAACGCAGAAAGAAGGAAAAAAAAGGAAAGGUUCUUACCACAGUCGGAGAGAACGAUCUUGCUCUUUGUGGAUUUCUUCCCUCGCUUCAUUUUCCACAAAACAAAUGGUAGAAAAAAAAUUAGAAGAAGGGUUCUUACCAUAGUUGGAGAGAGCGAUCUUGCCCUUCACCGUUUUCUUCCUUCUCGCUUUGCUUUCUCGAGACAUAUCAGUUGGGAGACAAACCCCAUGCUUCCUCCCCACAAUCAACAGCAGAAAGUAAAAUAAAAUGAUGCUACCUAAAGAGUCAUUUUUAGGAGACAAUGAAACACUAAAAAAGUACAUAAAAUGCAAGAAACUUACAUAUUUUGAAGAUAAUACAUUGGAAGAAUGGAAACAAUAGAGGAAAAAUCUGAAAGAAGAAAAAUUGAAAUGAAAUUAGUUACAUGUAAAAGGAGAACAAAGGCUACAAUGUAUUAGGUUAAACGUAGAAACAAUCAUUUGGUUGAUUUAGUUGAUAAUAAAACAAUGAAAAUAAAAAAAGCGUGAAACUUCCAUUAACUGAAGAUUACCGUAAAGUAAGGGAAGCAACAUCAUAAAAUUGUGCAUGAAACACAAUUAGAGAAAUGAUAAAGGAGAUGAAUUUAACCGUUUAAUGUUACAACUGGAAGUAAAGAAAAAUUAUUUCUAAAAUGGAAUAAAAGAUAAGAAAAGAUCAUAACAAUGUUAAUAAGAACAAAACAUGCAUCAAUGACAAAAGUGCAUUAAAAUGGGUCACUUCUACCGAUUGAAUUAGUGAUAACAGUAUGCAUAUUACGAAUAAACAUUGAAUCUUAUCGCAGUGGAAGAUGAGGAAUGAGAAGAAUGGAUGGGAAAAAAGAAGAUCGGUUGAGAAGAACGUAUCUUGAGAACGAAAUGUGAAGAAGAAAUGAUUAUGAAAUUAGAAUACAUAAAUCAAAAGGAGAUAAAAGGAAAAAAGGGCUCUUACCGGAUGGAUAUUGAUGAUGAUGGAGAAGAACAUUAACGUCUAAGUAUGAAAAAUGAUGAAGAAGAAGUGGCUGAUGAAGAAGAAAUGGUGCUGUUGGAGAAUCCAGUGGGAGAUAUUUCUUGCAUAUGAAUAUAGGUUAUGGAUAUCAUGAUGAGAAAGAUGAAAAGAAUUUGAAAGGAAAUGAAAAGACUCAAAACUCAAUAAAUUUAUGGGAGAAAAAUGAAGAGACUCUUGCUGAUUUUUGUAACCACAAUCAAGAGUUACAAAAGUAAAAAAAAAAAAAAACCAAGAAUGUGAAAAGGUUGCUUAAAGGGUUUCUUAAGAAAAUAAUGCACGGCUGUGAUUAGAAGCAAUCAACGGUCAAGUUUGAUUUCAUAAUUAAUUAGUCACAAAUUUACAUAUAUGCCCAUGAAAAAAUAUUCAUUCAUGUGCAUUGAUUUAUUGAAUUCUCAUCUUACCCUCAAAAUUUCACAAACUCUCCCUUUAUAUAGUUUAUAGAUUAGUGUAUUGAAUAGUGUGGAAGAAAAUUAAUUAUUAAUGGUAGUCAAAAUUUUAGAAUUACAAAAACGAAAUAAAUAACUAAAAUUUUAGGGGUAUAUAAGGAAGAAUAAAAGAAAUCCUAAAAUCUAAUAUGGGUUUUUAUAUUAAGAGACGUCAACAAUAUCUAUGGGAAGUCUUAUAAAAAAGGAACUGAUCGUGAGGGUAAUAUCUAUCAUUUCUAUUUUUUUCGUUCUUAGAAUUAACGUGUGAAUAAAGUAUUAGUGGAAGUUUUGAGUGUAUCAUGCAAGUCAUAAAAUCACUAUUAACAUACUAUUAGAUAAAUAAUUAGUAAUUAUAGAAAUAAAGUUAAAUAGUUAGUAAUUGUAUUUUUAUUUAUUAAUUUUGUCACCUUGACCUCUUCAUUAAUUGUAUUUUUACCAUCCUCUCAUAACUCUAUUCUCAAUCUUUGUUCGAACAUUGUAGUCUGGUGUAGCACCUCAUAUGUCGUGUAAGUAUGCUCCUUAGGAUUGAUCAAGAUGUUAGAGUAUUAAUUAGACACUUGAAAAUAAUAAUCCGUCCCAAAUUGCAUAGUAACACAAUGCGAAGGUAUCACGUUCGCACGAUACCUACCGACUCAGAUACCCUCAACAACGAGUAAGUGCCCUAAGUAGUUGAUACAAGUGUUUAGUAUGAUGCCCUUUUGAAAUUCAAUUUGUGGGUUUUUUAGUAAUUUUCACCGAGUAAUACAUAUCUUAUUUGUGAAAGGCGGUUUUUUUUUUUCUAUUGUGAUCUGAAAAAUUAUAUAGAAAAUUAGAAACUAGAUGAAGGAGGAUUAAAAAAUGGUCAAAAAAACAUAAUAUAUUAAAAGUAGAAGUUCCACAAAGGAGGAGGUAUUAUCAUCCAAGCCCUUAGGUAGGUUAAAAUAUGCUUAUAGAUUCUCAAUGGCCCAAACCAUCACUAAUUUACUAGCGGAAAAAAUCGUCAAUAACAGUUUCUGAUGAUGUACAUACUGACGCUCACACAAUUGUUGAUGUUAAUUUGUCGGGAAGUUGUUAUUGUCGAGACCAUCUGGCCAUUACUAAGGGUUUUUUGCCGUUUUGAAAGGCAAGUUUUCUUACAGUGACAUAUGGUGUUCAGUAAAAUUUGCAACCAAACCGGCGAUGAAAAACCAAUCUAAGGUGGGUGGCAACAAAGGGGAAUGUAAAACAGACAUAGUUGGCAAAGAUGGUGAGACUACAAAAGUGGUUUGAUUUUGCGUUGAUAAAACCAACGCAAAGCCGAGACAAAAUGGGAAAAACAAAAUAACAUGAUUUGUUUACGUCAACGCUAAUUUGCAUCGGUUAAGUAUCAUUCAGAGUUAGCAGUGGUGAUAGCUAAAAUCUCAUGCCACUAUAGUCCGUUCUCUAAAUGUAGACAAAUAGUGGUGGCUAGAGAACGACUUUACUUUUACCCUCCACCUUAUCGAACACUAAUUUCCAUGUGUGAACAACUCAUUUUGUGGGCGGGAAAUUGAGCAUCAACUAGAUUUCUCCGUCCGAGCUUCAUUAUAAGUAUAUCUCUCUCACUCUCUCUCUCUCUCUCUCUUCAACAUAAUCAAAAAGUCAAUUUUAACCUUCCUCCGCCCAUCUCACUCGUCAGCCUGUUAACAUGUUUAUUAAGAAAAUAAAUAUAGUUCAUAAAUCACUCUUUUUAAAUUUCAUGAAACUUGAUAAUUUAUUAGGAAGAUGUUAUUCCUCGAUAGCUAAAUAUUUUUUUAUUCUAUUUUAAAUUAUUUUUAAGGGAGACUAUAGGAGAAGGAUAAUUGAAUGAAAGUUAAUUAAAAUGAAAGAUUACGGGUAUAAUAUGAAACAUGAACACAUUUUAAAUUCUUGUAACACACCCUUAAACUUCAAAUAAAAUGGGAUAAAGGAGUAAGAUCCGAAGAAAAAUUCAGAUUCUAUUGCUAACUUAUUCGAGGGAAGAGGGUUUGAAUAAAUGAAUUGCGUUGAAAAUUGUAGAGUGCACAUUUGCGUGCACGAAUGAAUAUGUGAACAACAAUGGUGAUCUUAAAGGGAAAACAGUGAUGGGAUGAGCACUAUUUUCCCCUAUGCUCCUAGCUGAUCUUUUUCAUGUACCAAUUUCUGAAUCAAACUCUUUUUUGAUGAUGUUAUCUCUUCCAAAUUAAAUCCCCGUGCUCAUGUAGAAAACAAGGCAAAUAGAAAAGGUUAAAUUCAUAAAGGAGAUAUAUACCAGAACAAUUCCUUUCAAAAUUAAUCACUGAAUACCAAAACUUCACAUAAAUGCAAACCUGUAAAAGCAUACCGGGUACACUGCAGUGAUGUCUGCUGCACAAUAAUGCUCAGUUGAUUAAUUGAAUGAUGACACACUUACCUGCACAAAUCUUUGCUUUCUGACAAAGCAUUGAGCACUUUUCUUAUGAACAUUGAAUCUUAAAUGAUGAUGAUCCUUAAAUAAAGAAGUACCCUGGUCCUUAAAAAGCACGAUGAGCAUUUUUUUUGGUGUUAACAACUUAAAAUGCACAAUUGUUUGCUAAAUUCAUGAUGAUGAUCCUCAAAAAAAAAGGUACACCUUGUCCUUCAAGAACAUAGUGUAACAUAGUGAUCAAGAAGGAUCUUUUGAUGAACAUUGAAUCUUAAUCAACACAAGCAAAGAAAGAAUCUGGCUACAUACUUUUGACAGAUUAUUUGAAUAUAAUGUGUAGGGAUUCAGCUAUAACAUGAGAUGUUAAAGCUAAAGAUGUCUAUUGAAUAAACAACUAUAUCAUAUGGUUUAGCAGCACCAACAAGAAAACAUUUACAUACCUAUACUUGGAAAAACUUUAUUCUAUUAUAAUAUCUGUAUCGUCACUGGUCAGAUCUAUCAAUUUUACUUACAAAAUGAUAUGGAAACUAAGGACAGAGAAAAACAGAGAAAAGUAUAGAUCUGAAUGAUACUACUGAAACCACACAGAAGGAAGGUAAAUGCACAUUACAAUUAUAUCUAAAACAACAAAAACAAUAUCAUCAAUCAAUUAAGAAAAAUUGUUAAACAAAUCCAAUAAGAUCAUAGAGAUUAGAGACAGAACAUAGGCCAAGAAACCCUAGAGAGAGAAGGUGGAAAAAUAGGUAGAGAGAGAAAGUUGAAGUGAAAAAGGGGAGGAAGAUGGAGUUGAAAAAGAGGAGAGAAUGUUUAACUGUGUUCAAAGGUGUCCAGAUCUGAGAAAACAUGGCAGAAACAGACAGAUCGGAAAACAUAGUAAUUGGUAGUAGUAGUAGUAGAAGAUCUGGCUAAUGAUGAACAUGAAAAAGGUGUACCUGACAACAAAAAAAACACCAUCAUAACUUGAUCAGAGGAAAAAGAAGAAAUUGAAAAGGAGGUAAUGAUGAAAGCCUUUUGAAAAAACAAAAUUGGUCAAAAUGCUUCAUCAUUACACCAAUCUGCAAACUUCCACCACAACCAUCUUUAAUUGAUCCAAAAUCCAAACCGCAAGGCCUCAGAUCUGGCUAUAUUUGACAAAAAAACAAAACAUCAGAGAGAGAGAAGCAAAAACCUACAAGAGUAGUAGUAGUAUAGUAGUAGUCCACCUCCAUCUGCAGAGGCUAUGUUGUUACAAAAUGGAAGCGUGUAAUUGGGGGGAAUGAAGCCUGGUCCGACAACACUUCGCAUUCCAUCACCCUAAAUUUGGAUGUUGCAUUGGAUCAAGUCGAAGGGUCCUCGAGCCAGACAACAUUCCCCUCAAAAAACCAAAGCUUCCUGAAAAUAGUGGGUUAAAGUCUUAAUUCUUUAGUGGGGGUAUGAGAGAUAUGAGCUAGCUACUUUUUGACAGUCUCUGAUUUUUUCACUCCCACGAGUCUCGCCUAGGUUCAAGGGGGGGACUGAGAGAGAAGGGGGGAGAGGAGAAGAAAUGAGUGGUGGUGAUGAUGAGUGGGUGAGUGAGAAUGAUAUGAGGGAGGAGAAUGCAGAGAGGAGAGGGGUUAUAACAAGAGUGAAAAUUAAAUUAAAGGAGGUGUGGAAAGCCAACGAGAUAAAAGACAAAGGAUUGGUGCAGGGUAGACCCUACCACCUGGGUUCUCACUUCCAGAAAUGACCACGACCCCAUGCACCCAACCACACUCAACCCAACCCCCUUCUUAUUAAUGGUUCCCUCAUCACUUACCAUUUACCAAUCUCCUACAUUCAUAAAAUUUAGAUCAUUUAAUCAAAGAUUGAUCAGCUCAUAUUUUUUUUUUAGCAUAAUUGACCGUUGAGAUAUUUUAUAAUUUAGGUUGUUCGAUUGAAAUCAGACAACUCAAUGUGAAUUCAUGGACUUUCUGACUCGAGCAAUCCAAAAUCCUUACUCCCUUGUUUAGGAAUACAUACAUAUAUUAAAAAAUUCAAUUAACUUGGUUAUUCUUUUAAAAAAUAUAAUUUAUUUUCUUAUUUUACUUUUUUUUAUAUUUUACCCUUACGUUACUUGUACUUUAUUUCUUCUUAAUUAUUUGAACAUUUUUUAUUCUGUUCGAAAAGUGGAAAAAUUAAAUGGUUGAAUCAAUGUAUAUCAAUAGAUGUUUUUCAUGGCUGAGCCUCAUUCAUGCACGGGCAUUACUCUAUUUAUUUGUAUUACAAUAACAUUAUUUAAUAAAAAAAUAAAUUAAUGGUGUCUUAAAAGAAUAGUUCAAGUGGUAAGAACUGAUAACAUAUGAAUUGGAAAUUGAAGGCUUAGAGAUCAAUUCCUCAAGAGUAAUUUAUGUAUUAAAAAAAGAAUUGAGUGAGCAUUGAACAAUUUUUUUUUAGGUAAGUUAAUUUUCCGUCCGAGCAAAAAAAAAAAAAUUAGGUAAAAAAGAUGAGAAUGCUGGUGAUGAUAUCCACCGUUGGAUUAGGGAUGUAUGGGGUUUGAUGUUAUGUCCUCGUACGAACAUUGACUGUACCUGUUAUUAAGGACCCGCAAAACCGAGACCGACCAUUUGAUGGAGCAUGAUGUGGAUGAUGGUGUCAUACGGUGGGAGAUCUAGGUAAGGACUCACCAUACAUAGAUACUGUAGCUUAGCAUUCAAUUUUUGAUAUGAUGAAAGUAGAGGGAGAGAGAAAUAAAGGGAGACAUUGAUUGUUGACCGUAGGAUUCUGUGAAAACAAGGUACGGAUUGAGAAGGAAACACAGGCGAUGAAAGUGAAUGAAUGCUCCACAAUCCACAAACUGUGUUUUUUUUUUGGUCAAACACAAACUGUGUUUAUAUGGUCAAUCAAAAUUCAAAAAGAUAACCAUGUAACCAAAAAGAAUAAAAAUAACCAAUCACAUAAAUGCGGGGUUACAUUGCUACUUAAUUUUACAUUAUUGUCUUGUUUUUGUUUAUCGUUAUUUUAAUUUCACAGUGUUUUUUAAAAGAGUUUCUAAACAUGCACUAAGAACAUGUAUAUAUUGUUUAGGAAGCCCAAAACCCACGUGUCUUUACCGGCCGAUCGUUUUCGUGUGAAACAACAUUCCAACGAGCUGCUUCAUUUCACUAGACAACAACGGUGGUGCCUCUUGCUUCACGGCAUUGGAAGUGUUUGGGCCAGUGUGCAAGAGACCAACAAAUAGGAUUAUUCAAGUUAAUUUUCACGCCUCAGUUAGAACUGAUACGGUUGUUGUGUUAGGGAUGAUAGCUUGGGAUCGUUUUGGAGAGGUCUUGGCUGCGGCAACAUCGUAUUCUACUCAUGUGUUAUCAUUAAUCAUUGUCGAGACUAUUAGUUUUCGUUGGUUAUGACAUUAGCUUCUGAGGUGGUAGCUCUUAUCUAGCUGUUGUUGUUCGGGAUUGUUGUUUGAUUACUACUUUUUUUUUUUUUAGUAUGUUGAUAUUUCUUUUGUUCAUAUGAUCGACAAUUUUAUCGUUGAUUUCCUAGCUAAGAACUCUUCCUCAUACGCUAAUUUAGAUUGCAUGGAAGAAAUUCCUCAUACGCUUUUAUCUACUGUUAAAUGCUUUUUUAAUCUUCUUCUUCUUAGUUUGAAGACAUAUUUUUUGUUUCAAACAAAAAAAGACAUAUUUUUCAACUUUUUCAAUGGUGAAAGAAGUCUCGUAGUUGUUGUUCGGAAUUGUUGUCUGUUUACUUCUUUUUUUUUUAGUAUGAUGUGCCGCUAAUUUUCUAACUAGAAACACUUCCUCCUACGCUAAUUCAAAUUGCAAGGAGAGAAUGCGUUUAUUUUAGUUUUUUUUCCCUUUAGAAAAUCAGUUUUUAGCUAAGAAAGUAAUUUCUUUAAUAAGUAAAUCAGGAAACUCCUUUACAUUUUUUCUAUCAUUUUUUUCAUUCAUUUUGUAUAAGCCAUGGUACUAUUGUCCACAAUAGACGUGGGUGUAGAUUAUAUAAAUUAAACCCCAGAAACGAAGAAAGACAUAAUGAUGAUUUAAAUUAUUUUGAAGAAGAUAAAGGAAUCAAAAGUUAAAAGAGGACUAACAAUUGAGUCAGAGGAGUGGUUGAGUUAUGAGAUGCCCGAUAAUAGGAAACCCCAUUUAUUAUGCAGCUGUUGUUCUUGACGUGUUAUGCUUUUAUAUUUAUUUUUAAAAAUACUCCCUCCGUUCCUGAUCUUUUGUUGUUUAAGGUUAUGCACAUUGUUUAAGAGUGCAAUCAUUGAUAUAUUUGUUGACAUAAGCACCCCUAUUUAAUGUUCUCUUAUAGUGAAGAGAGAAUUAUAGUUAUUGGUUAAGAAAUUUGUUAUGAUUUUGAUUGGUGAAAAUAAGAGGUGGUAGGUGAGAGGUAUAGUAUUAAAUGAGAGUAUAUAUGGAAUAAAUUGAGAAAAAAUGCAUUGGAUUUAUAAAACAACAAAAGUUUUGGAAUUUAGGCCAAAAGUUAAAACAACAAAAGAUUAGAAACGGAGGGAAUACUACUGUAAAAUAAAUGGGAUAAAUGCAUUGAAUUGCAUUGGAAAUAAAUAAAUAAAAGUAAAUGAGAGUUUGAAAAACAAAAAGAGAAGGACCUCGUAGUGUGUGUAACUUUUAAGCAGGCGAAGAAUUCGAGGGAAGUUACCGACAGAUGGGGCUGAAGGAACGGGGUCCACCCUGCCUUUUACCCCGUCCCAAUUCCUCGCCGACUUUUCCGUUUUUCACAGGGUCAAACGACGCCGUUUUAACCAUGUAUAGGAGCAGAUAUUUAAUCAUUUUUUUUUUCAUUUUUAAACUAAUGAAAUUUAAUUAGACGUUUAUAUAAACUUCUUUUAAUUUAUACUAUAGUACUCAUAAAAAUAAAUUGAAAAUUAAUUUUGGCCGUGACUGGUCGCUGGCAACCCAUUUACAUCAUCACAUGCCGUUUGCCAACCAGCUCCUCAAUUUCAUCCACAUUUAUUAUUAUGUAUAUUCCUUUUUGCACAUUUUAGACUUCAAAUAUUCUUUUUAAGAUUUGUAAUACGAUUGAUAGCGAUGGUACUAUUGUGAGAUUUAAUUCUGAGGUAACGUGUUGGUGGUGAGAAGUAAGAACUAAAAUUCUCAAAAAAAAAUUAUUCUAGUUAUAAUAGUGUUUACGUGGAUUUUUGGUAAACAAAUAUCAUCUUAGUUCGACUAAAGGAAGUUUAGAUUCAGGGUCCUUUUGAGAAAACGCUUUGCCAAAGUAUUGUGUGUGUGUGUGUGUUUUUCGACAAAAACGAAUUGGUUUAGACAGAACUGAAUUUCAUUAAACACGGGUCAAUUACAAAGGAGUCACAUACAUAAAAUAACACAAAAACUAACAAGAGAUGUGGAUCUCGACAAGAAAAUGCAUAAAGGAACUGGGAAUUAAAUAAGCUUAAACACGAGAAAACUAAAGCGUUGGUUCUGCAACAUACUCCUCCAUCAUCACGUUGUGCUCCUUGAGUCUCAUUGAUGCGGACAUUUGGAGCUUUUGGUGAAUUUUCAGAGUUUGAGUUGGGAACCCUUUUUUCUGCUGCUACUUCUUCUAUUUAUAGUGUUGUUCCUGCCCACGUUCUUGGCGGUUUUUCUUGGAUGCAUGAUGGCUUCGUGGGUUUUGAAUUUUGGCGCCAUGUCCCACGUUUAGCCGGUGGUCUUCGCGCACGUGACUCUAUUGCCACGUGGAUGGUUUUGAGUCGUGGGCAACCGUUGCUAUUCGUGGCAUCGUGGGUAUAUGCACGUGCUUGUAGUUGCUUGUUACUCGGUAACUGCCUCUUCCAUUAAGAUGAUCGAGAUUUCUUCAUCUGCUGAGUUUGUCGAGAUAUAGCUCUCACUAACUUGACUUUGAGGGACACCGUGUGCUGAGUUGCCGAUUUCGCCAUAACCCUUUCUGUCGAGAUCCUACCUCCAUGGUGUCGAGAGUCGUAGUACUCGUAAUUUUUAGCUUAACAGUUGCCCCCCAAGAAUGUUGGUUGUCGACUGCUUUAGCUUGAAGACACCAAGCAUUUUUUAUCGCAGCCGUUCGAUUCCAACGAUUCAAGUACUUUGUGCUCUCGACCAUUCGAUCUUCAAGUCCAAUCAGCAGCCAUAACGUCUGAUGACUUCUCCACUAGCUGACAGUUAUAGCCUUUUUAGGGCCAUGAUUUCACCUAUGCCAAAAAGCUGAGAGGUGACAUGAGUUAACUAAUAAAAUAAUCGCUUGGACCCUAAAUUUUUAUAAAUUACUGCUCAAUGCGGCCUGGGUUCCGUUUGCCCUUCUGUUUAUAAAUACCCUCUUGGUGUUCCUCGUUCAAGCUUUACUCUUUUCUCAAACCUUCAGAUCCUUCCCCCAACGCUCUCACUUCAUCUUCUUCCGUUUUCUCUGGAAUAUCUACCGUUUUCUUCAAUGGCUUCCAAUCCUGAGCAGACCAUUCCGUUGGCCACUGAGCUUAAGCUGGAUGAAUCCAAGCGCGUGGCAAUCCCGGAACCCCCAACGAAGCAGAGAAGAGAGCUAUCUGGAAAUCCCAGGUACUCAUUCCUUUCUCUGUUAAUGGUACUUUACGCGCCAUUUUGGGUCCUUUGAAAGUAGUGAAGCAUGAUAGGCCCAAUAGUCUCCCUGAAGAACAUGAAUCAUUUCACCCUAGCGUUAGGGGAGAGGAGCUUAUUUUGGCAUUUCAACCUUCUUACCGUAUGCCAUUUCUUUCCGACCCAAAACGAGCCUUUCGUUCAGCUCCUCCUAACCCCUCUGCUAACGACAAAGCCUACCUGAAAUGGUUAGAUAGGGUUGAGGAAGAUAAGAGGCAACACUGGAAGGAUGUCAGGAUUCUCGACUUGAUUGAGCUGUCGAGAUCUCCAAUCUCGUAUAACCCUGCUAUGUUGUUGAGUGCACUUUAUUUCUGGGAGAGGUCCACUAAUUGCCUUCAUGUUCCCUUUGGCAUGAUCACCCUCACCCUCUUGGAUGUUGCUGCUAUCACCGGAUUAUGGCCCAUUGGUGAUGAUUAUCACUCUGCACCUGCCACUGUUAAACCCAUCUCGAUUCCUACUGACAACAUUUCUUUUAGUCGAUUCAUUAAGGACCAUUAUGUCGAGAGUGGUGAGGUGUCUGAUGCUGAACAUGUCGCUUUCUUGCUGUAUUGGCUGUCUGCUUAUGUUUUUUGCACCAAGUCUUUGCGUAUUCCUGCCAAGCUUUUGCCCUUAGCCAAUCUACUUCACGAGGGUCGACAACUCGCUAUGGCUAGGCUUGUCCUUGGCAACCUCUAUCAAAUGCUGAAUGAAGCUGUCGAGGAUAUCCGGAAUACCAAGACCGUCUCUCUGAAUGCAGCUGGACCUCUUUGGCUGUUUCAACUUUGGUUGAAUGCAGUCUUCGAAUCUCUUCUGCCGGCACAAGAUAAUCCUCCAACUGUUUCUAACACCAGGAUUGAUGCCCACAGGCUCGAGACCCUGACCCCUGCUUAUGAUGCGUCGAGUUUUGAAGCUGAUUUCAGAAAGUACUUUACCAUGUUUUUCGAGCUGAAGCAUUAUCGUUCCAGUUUCUCUCCUUACAGCAAGGCUGUUCGUGGCCCUUUCUGGCUGAGGAAUUCUUACCCUAAUGCUUCUGAUUCUGCAUUGCCCAAAGAACACCACAUCACGCUCUGGAGGACCCUCUUAUCUCCUAGGGUUUUAACUGUGGGCUUUGCUAGCAGUGACUACACUCUAUGUGGCUACAACCCUCAAUUGGUUUCUCGACAGUUUGGGCUUAGCCAAGUUCUACCCAACACUUUAUUUGACAAGAGUCUAGUCCUGUACCCCGGAGCUAUUAAGAGGGCUUCUGCUUUCGACACGACUGUUCAGUUUUAUAACAAGAAACUCCUCAACCUGAGCCCCUUCGCUUACGCUCCUUCAUAUUAUGCCACUAAUGCUUUCAAAGCCUGGUGGUCUGAGUAUUGGGCUCAAAUUUCGAAGCCCCUCGUAGAUUGUCUGCAAUGCAUGACAGAUGCUUUUCUUUUGCAGAAGCAGGAUCCGAAGAAGACCAAAGGUACGCACUGGCAGAAAUUCGAUCUUUUCAAGAGUUCUUUGGUGUGGUAUAUUACCCAACUCUUCGCCUUCAAGAUACGGUUGCGAAAGCAGCUCAAGUAUUAAGGCAAAAAUGGGAAUUUAAAGCCAAGAAAUCCAAGUUAGUUGUUCCUCCUGGUGAGGAGGGUCUAUCUUUUGUUAUUCGAAAAACUGGCUUUAGGUUCCCAUCUUUGCCUACGAGUAGGUUUGCAUUGGCCUUUCCACCGGUCUUGCCUAAAUGGGUUGACCAUGUAAACAUAAAUGUGCUGGCCAAUCAAGCUCUACCUCCUCGAAAGCGAGUGACUUGGACUAAGUACCACCUAUGGAACUUUCCGUAUCAUGUGCCCGUCGAAAUCUUCAACCACAUAUCGCUGAACAUGCGUAUUGGUCAAGGUAAUACUUCGACUUGGCCUAGGUUUUCCUGUUUUACUUCUUAAUUUCUCUUUUGUUUACAGCUGAAGUCAUUACCCGACCAGCUCCUCAAGUUAUUUCCCCAGUGGUUCAUUCUUCCAAGGACAAGCCAGUCGUGAUUGAGGAUGAUGAUGAUGAUGAUGAUGAGGAUGAUGAUGUCAGUCUUGCUGACAAGCUCAAGGUACUUUCCUCAUGCUUUUCCCUUUUUCUUUUCAAUUUCUUUGGAUUAUGAACUAACGUAUUCUUCGACAGAGUCGAAAAAGGAAACCUAAGCCUGUUGCUUCGGCCAGUCAGAAGAGGGCCAAAGGGGCUGGUGUUUCCACCACCAGUGGGGCUUCUAAGUUGGCAUCUGAUGCUCAACCAGAAGUCGAUGACAAAGAAGGUGGUGGCGACGCCGCCAUUCAGGUAUGUUUUCCAUUCUCGAGGGUACCUUGUGACAUUUUAACCUGUGGUUUCCUAAUCUGAGUCAUUUCUUGUUUGUUUUGUUUCUUUUAGGCUGAUGUCCAUGAGCAUUCCACUUCCAAUCCUCCAUCCCGUGAGAAUUCUCCAGCUCCCAACCCUGCAAAAUCCAAAGCUGAAGGUGUCGAGAAACCUCCCAAGGCCGCAUCCUCGGCUAAAAAGACCUCAACAUCUGAGGGAAGGAAGAAGGUCAGGAGCAAAUCUGGUCAUAAGUCUCCCCGCCGUUCCAGAAGCUCCACCAACUCGAGCCCUUCUAAGGAAUCUGCUUGCCAGGUAUCUUUAUAUUUUUCAUGUUUUGUUGGCUCCUCUAAUAUGCAUUUUACUUUAUCGAAAAGGGCAUUAAAGAGGUUUUUCUUGUAGGAAACUCAAGGUUCAACCUCUCCCAUUCGCGAAGCAGAACCUCUUCCAGGCAAGGAUGAUAACCCUAUGCCUCCUCCAAAAUCGACUGCCACUGUGCAACCUUCGCCUCAAGCCAAGGGUGGCUCUUCAUCUCAUGUGUCUAGUGAAAAGCUCGACACUUUAUUUGAGGAGGACCCGCUGGCAGCUUUGGAUGGCUUUCUCGAUGGCACCUUGGAAUGGGAUUCUCCACCCCAUCAAGCUGAUGCCACUGCUGAGACUACUCAAUCUAGUGGGGUGGCCAAUUUUCAGCAAAUCGAGGAGAGUAUGUGUCGGCUGAAGGCUAUUGUUUUCGCCAGUGGGUUUCUCGACCAGAUCCAAGUUGAUCCUCAAGCGAGCCAUGUUGCUAAGGAAUUGCUCGUAUUCCUUCUUGGCCAAAAACUUGAUUCUCAUCAGGCUGCUGCUUUGGCCAACCUUCAAUCCUUCCUAGUGGAUGCUUCAGCCACUUUUCAUCAAGUUAAGGACGUUGGUCAAGCUGUCAGCCUUAAGGAAGCAAAAGUCUCUUCUGGUAAAGCUCGAGUUGCAGCAAUGAAAGAGGACUUCAAGAAAUUCACUGCUAGGAAGGUUUUAAUUGCAGAUGAAAUUUCUGAAGUCGACACUAAACUUGAGGAGCUGCAUCGAGAGAUUACCAAGUUGGAGAAAAAGCGAGCUGAUUUGGUCGAGGAAGGCCCUGCUGUGAAGGCUCAGUUGGAUGUGCUUACUAAGGACUCCAAGGCUCUGAUCAUCUCGACAAAAGAUGUUAUCAAGGAGUUGGAGGUUGACCAGGCCGUGAAGAAGGAUCUCGAUGCCAAGAUUGCCACCUUCGCUGAUCGUUUGAACUCUUUUAAAUCCUUGCUUUAGGACUCUCUCUUAUCAAUAUGUAAUGAUGGCACUAUUUUAACCAUGACUUUCGAUGCCAAUUUUGCAUGUAAUAUUUCAACAAUGGUUUUGGCACGUAGGCCAUAUAAUUUGACGUUUAAUUUGCCAUGUCUUUUCAGUUUCCAUUGUGCACUUAUCCUGACGGCUAUUUGCUUAUUGUUGCACCGUUCAAACUCCCUUGCAUCCCCUUACGUAGUCAUUACUUGGUUUCUGGGAAAUAAGCCAAUUUAUUGCCAUCUUAUACCACGUUUUCUUGAUUCAAUGAAAGUCUUUGUUCAUUAAAGGCCAAAGCCAUUUACGAUGGUAGUGGUAAUUUAUGUGGCCUGUAACCAUAAGAUGAAGAGUUGGAAACUGAUUGCCACUAAUUAAUGCACUCCUUUGUUGUUAUACUAUAAAUAGAGCAUUCUUGGUUACUUCUCUUCAGUAACUUCUUCAAACUCUCCCUUGCCUCUUUUCCAGAAUUCCUUUCCUGCUCUUACACACCCUUUCAACCAUGGCUAGCCGUCGUGUUCUUAACCAGAUCCGGAGCUUGGCCUUUGACGAAGACCUGUUUUGGGAAUUGCAUUCCUCUCUUUCUCUGGCUGAAGAGCUUACCAGGCUCAUUAACCAGCUUUUGCAGAGGAAUAUUAUUGCCUCUGUAAAAACCCCUCUCCUGGAGUUUCUGGGCCUCCUGCAUGAAGCUGUACCCCUAUAUGAAGAACACCGGGAGCUUACUGCUCGAGUGUUCUUUGCUGAACAUCAAAUUGAGGAGAAGAUGGAAGAAUUUGAAGAGUUGAAGGCUGCUCUGAACCAAGCGGACCCUGAGGGGAGUGUGGGAGCUCUGAAAGCCUUGGUGGACAAGCUUUCUUCCACUGCCCGUGAGGAGCUGGAUCUUCGACAGGAGAAAUCGAGACUGGAAUCCCAACAAGAGGAUGUCUUGAGGCGCAUGGAGCCUCUUAGGGCCAAAUACGAUAGUUAUAGGGCCAAUCCCCCUUUUUAAAGUUUUUUUGCCAUAGUUGUAAAUGCUCUAUUCUAAUUAAUAAAACAUUCGAGUUUGGCAAUUUACUUUAUUUAUUUUCUUAUUCUUGCUUCCUUAUUCGAUGUUUAUUUCAUGCAACGUUGGCUUAUACGUUUUUAAGUAUUUGCCAUUUACCGUUAUUUGUCGAUUUCGACCUCCUAAUUCUUUAAUCGAAUAAGCGUUGUUUAAAAGUACUUUCUCGACUGUGAAAGGGCCUUCCCAGUUUGGGGCCCACUUUCCAUAGCGUUUAUCCCUUUUAUCGACUGGUAAGACAACCUUCCAUACGUAAUCACCGGGCAUAAAAGAUUUAACUCUAACCUUUUUAUUAUAAGCUUUAGCAACGCGAUCCUUUUGCCUGGUUAAGGUAUCCAACGCCAAUAGUCUUUCUUCGUCGAGAUUGACUAAUUCAUCAAGCAUCAUAUUCCAAUAGUCUUCACUUGGAAUUUCCUCUUGCCUUUGAAUUCUGCAUGACUGUAAAUAUACUUCUGCUGGUAACACCGCUUCUUGGCCGUAUGCUAGUCGAAAUGGCGUUGCCCCGGUAGCUUCUUUAGGUGAAUUCCUGUAAGCCCAAAGCACUUGGCCCAAUGUUUGAUGCCGUCUUUUAGGUUUUCGACCAACAUGUUUUUUAAUCAAGGAGAUCAAUGUUUUGUUGGCCGCUUCUACUUGACCAUUCGCUUGAGCGUAAUAGGGAGUCGAGGUUAGGAGUUUUAUGCCCCAAGAUUCCGCGAAUGAUGCCACUUUUUGGCCUACAAAUACUGUGCCUUGGUCUGUAGUAAGUGACUCAGGUAACCCGAAACGAUACACUAUGUGAUUCUGAAUGAAAUCGAUCACCGUGUCCUGGGUAACAUUUUGUAGAGGAAUUGCCUCUACCCACUUGGUAAAGUAAUCUAUAGCCACUAUUAUGUACUUGUGUUGCCUAGAAGAACAUGGGCUAAUUUCGUCAAUUAGGUCUAAAGCCCAUCCCCUGAAUGGCCAUGGUUUAAUAAUUGAGUGUAAUUCACUUGCUGGCACAUGUUGUAUCCCUGCGUGUCUCUGGCAAUCUUGGCACCCCUUGGCAUACUCCAUGCAAUCUUUCAUGAUAGUAGGCCAAUACAUCCCUUGUCGGAAUAGGAUCCAUUUCAUCUUGAUUCCUGCCUGGUGGGCACCACAUAGCCCAUCGUGAACGGCCGUGAUUGCUAUGAACGCGUCGUCUUCGCUUAAACACUUCAGUAGUGUUCCGUCGACGUUUUUCUUGAAUAGCUCGUUUCCCAUUAUGACAUAGCUCAUUGCCCUAUACUUUGUCUUUCUGUCUGUAGUACCCACAGGAUUUUGCAAGUAAUCGACAAUUGGCUUUCUCCAAUCAUUAGGUGCCAUAUUGUCAAUGACCAGGAUGUUGAGGUCAGAGGGGUUUAGUUUUUCUUUGACCUCGAUAAGCUCUUUUAACCUACAUUUAUCGACCAUAUAUCCUGACGCGAUUUGUGCCAAUUCAUUGGCCUCUUGAUUGUCUACCCUGGAAACAUGACCUAGCCUAGCUUCGUCGAAUUUGGCCAACAAAUUACUAGCUUUCGUGUAGUACCUAGCUAGAUUUUCACUGACACACUUGUAUUCCUUGGUAAGUUGCUUUAUUACCAACUCAGAGUCCCCUUUUACGACAACAUUCUUUGCCCCAAGGGCUAUCAGGAUCUCGAGGCCUGAUGUUAAUGCCUCGUACUCAGCCUCAUUGUUUGAGCAGUUACUCUUAAUCCUAAACUUGAAUUUCGUGGGGAUGCCCCUUGGGGAUACUAUGAACAUCCCGAUUCCGCUGCCAUUCUUAUGGCUGGAACCGUCGAAAAAUAGCUUCCAAGGUUGGAUGCCUACGUAAGUUACGAUUUCUCGAGGCAAAGUAUGAUCUGCCAGGAAGUCAGCAAUUGCUUGUCCCUUAACUGCCUUUAGUGGGGCAUAAGUUAGUGAAUACUCGGUUAGGGCUAAAGCCCAUUUACCAAUUCGACUAUGCAAGAUAGGUUUGGAUAACAUGUGCUUUAUUAUAUCAUAAUGAGAAAAAACCAUUACAUCGAUUGGCUUUAUAUAAUAUUUCAGCUUUACACAAGAGAAGUACAAGCAUAAGCACAAUUUCUCGAUCAUGGUGUAUCGAGUUUCUGCAUCAUUUAACACCCUACUUAAGUAAAAUAUGGCUCUUUCCUUGCUAUCUUCAUCUUCUUGAGCCAACAUGCUUCCAAUGGUUCCAUCCGUGGCAGAGAUGUACAGCUUCAUUGGCUUUCCUCUUAUAGGUGGUGCCAUUACAGGUGGGCUGGACAAGUACACUUUGAGUUCAUCGAACGCUUUUUGGUGCUCUGCUUCCCAGCGGAACGCAUCUUCCUUUUUAAGUCGAAGAAGUGGGGAAAAUGACUUGGUCUUCUCGCUGAGGUUGACAAUGAAUCUCCUUAGGAAGUUAAUCUUUCCCAAUAAUGAUUGCAGUUGUUUCUUGCUAGUUGGUGGACUAGUGUCGAGAAUGGCUUUAGCUUUGUUCUUGUUGAUCUCGAUGCCCUUUUUAUGCACCACAAAACCCAAAAAAUCACCUGCAAUAACACCAAAGGCACAUUUAAGGGGAUUCAUCUUCAAGCCAUAUUUUCUCAUCCUCUCAAAGGAUUUCCUUAGAUGCAACAAAUGGUCAUCCCUUGAUGGGGAUUUCACCACAAUGUCAUCGAUGUAAACCUGCAUGAAAGUUUCGAUAAAAUCAUGAAAAAUGGUAUUCAUUACCCUUUGGUAGGUUGCGCCAGCGUUUUUCAACCCAAAUGGCAUGACCACCCACUCGUAUGUCCCCAAGGCACCAGGACAUCGAAAAGCUGUUUUCGACACGUCCUCUUCUGCUAUGAAGAUUUGGUUGUAGCCUGAGUAACCAUCCAACAAGCUUAAGUAUUCAUGACCAGCAGCUGAAUCCACCAUCAUCUCAGCAAUAGGCAUGUGAUACUCGUCUUUUGGAGUGGCAGCGUUAAGAUCUCGGAAAUCGAUGCAAACUCUCAUCUUUCCAUUCUUCUUGAUCACUGGAACCACGUUGGCUAACCAGUCCACAUAUCGAGCUGUUCUGAUAAAUUUACACCUGAGGAGUCUUUCGAUUUCUUCCUUGAUUUUCACCAACAAAUCUGGAUGGAACCUCCUGGGCAAUUGCUUGACUGGUUUCUUGUCUUCUUUGAUGGGUAACUUCAGUUCCACCAAUUCUCGACUGAGGCCAGGUAUUUCAUCGUAAUCCCAAGCGAAACAGUCUUUGAAUUCCUUGAGUAAUUUCACCAUCCUGUCCUUUAGCUCCGGGUCAAUAAGAGCACUGAUGUAUGUUGGCCUUCUUUCUAAGCCAUCUCCCAGGUCCACUUCUUCCAGAGGGUCUUGUGCUUCCAUUUUCUUGGAAAUGUCGACCAUUGGCUUUUCGAAACCUAAUGGACCGUCAUCAUAGAUGCAAUCCAGUCUCAAAUCGCGAAGGUCCUCGAAUUCGCAUUCAUCGACACUCUGCUCGUUUUUUCUUAUGCACGUGUUAUCCUUAUUUGCUGUUGCCUCCUCUUGAGGUGUCAUUUCGACAGGCAAGAUUGAGGCAUUGGCUUCGUCAGUAGCCAUUUCUUUGGCUAUUCUUGCGGCCUCUAAGGCCGUCCUUAUUCUGUUCUCGGCUGCGUAAGCCGAAAUUCGAGCUAGGCUCGAAUUAAUCAUCUUUAAUCUCAUUUUGCCACUCAGUUGUGGCAUCCUUUUCUUCAUCGCUGUGCCAUCCACUCAUGGCAUCAGGUUUGUAUGCUUCAUUAAGGUUUAAACCCCUGAUGGGAUCCAACGUCACCGAAUACUCCGAGUACGGGUUGAAAUAUUGAGAGGCCACUGUGUCUAGAGGAGCAAUUGUGGCUAAACUUUUCUCGAAAUUCUUUUUGCUGACGUAACCUGUCUCCGCUAAGUAGUAGCUCUGAUCUGCUUGCACGUUCUCGACGACCCUACCUGAUUUCCAAAUGGAAAUUCGUUGGUGCAGGGUUGAGGGCACUGCCCCCACACCGUGGAUCCAUUCUCUCCCCAAUAGCAGGUUGUAGUUGGCUUUUGAGGGUACCACGAUGAACAACGUGGAACGGGCCACCGUUCCUACGGUUAUGUUCAACAUAAUUGCUCCUAAAGAAGAACCUGUCUUCCCUUCGUAGUCGGAAAGGACCAUGUCGUGAGGGAUUAGGUCUGCUUCAGUUUUGCCCAACUUCUUGAGCAUAAACUUAGGCAUUAAAUUGAUUGUGGCCCCUCCGUCGGCAAGAACUUUAUUGACUCCUUUUUCGUCGACUUUGGCCCAAACGAAUAACGGCUUCAAGUGGCUUUUCAUCUGCUCCGUUGGCCUCUGGAAAAUAGCUCUUUCGUCCUCGACGGAUCCUUUUUGCAUCACGUAGUAGCAUAAGGGGUUGUCAUCUGGCUCUUCCUCGUCGUAGUAGUCUUCUUCAUUCUCGGUGACCUCUGAGAUUCGGUCGAAUUCAGCAGGUAAGAUAGACACUAUGCAGAUGAUGUUAAGAUCUUCCCCAUCGUUGUCGUCGAAAUCGUCGAGCAUGUCUUCGUCCUCAUCCUCGACAGCAUCCUUCCCUUUUUCCUUGGCUGGAUUUGGUGGCACGGUCGCUCCUUGUUUGAUGGCGUGGUCAAGUUGAUUAAUGAUUGACGCCACACUAGGUUCGUUGCGCGGGUUGUCUUCGGGCUUUAUGUCCCAUAAUGAACGGAACUUGCCACCCCUUUCCCUUUCCGCUUUCCUCUUCCUCAGGAAACGUCUGAACUGAGUUCUGGUCAUUUGUUCAGGAGCAUAAUAGUUCCCGGAGCCAUAGGAGUAGUUCCGCGACACACGGGAAUUGUUGAUGUAAGAAGACCCCUGGCCCAAGUCGAUUUUCUGCCACUUGGGGUAUGGUUUUGGCCUUGGAGGUGCUGGCUUGAACUAUUGAUUUUUUGGUAACCCAGCAUCAGGGACAUAAGUCUUGUCCUUGCUUCUUAACUUUUGGCCUUUAUGGCCAUCGAGUUCUUGAUCUCUUUCAAACCACUCCUCGUGGGGAUAUUUCAACCUUCUAGACACAGGCAUUUUGCUCUGGUAAUGCCUCAUCAUCUCAGAAUCUUGAUAGGCUUUGGCUGCUGACUUGUCGAAAACGGCACUACAUCGAGGACAAAGCAUGACUUCUUUCUCGCCAUCUUUGCUUCGUGACAAAAACUCAACAAGAGUUUCUCCUGCCUUGGGGUAAACCUCCUCUAGGCUCACUUCUUUUGCGACCUCUGGUUCUUCGACAGCCAUGUUUUCCUCCUUUGCCUCCUCGAGUGUCAGGCCCAGAUUUAGCUUCUCAGAAAUGUCGACCAUGCCAAUGUAGAAAGGUUCCACGUAGUUGGCUUCAGCUACUUGCAGUGGGUCGGAGUCAAUCUUCAUUUGGCUUUUAUCUUUCUCGUCAUACUUGAACCUUCCCGAAUCCAAUGCCCCCUGCACAAGAUCCCUGAAAUGAACACACUGUGAGGUCCAAUGACCAAAAAAGUUGUGAUAUUUGCAAUAUUUCUUCCCUUUCCUUUGUUCAGGAGAAGGAAGUUUUUGGUCUUUAGGGACCACAAGCAAACCAUCAGACACAAGUAUAUCAUAAAUUGCAUCACACUUGGCCACAUCAAAAGUAUAAGUUUUCACAGCAGGAAUCGUGUUCUUGGGGUUUUCCUCCCCAAGUUUGUUUUCACGUGGCUUCAAUGCUUUACAAACAUAAGGAUCCCCUGGCUGAAGUUCAGCCAGAUUGACAUCAUUUAAGUCGACGUCUGCAGGGACUUCUCGAUAAACACAUGGACUUUGACAUACUGGAUCCGCAUCUAUGUACGCCACCUUCUCCUUCUUUGGCCACUUAGUAGUCUUGGCCCUUUCCUCAGACUUUUCGGCCUUUAGCAAUUCGAUGUGCCUCACUCUAUCUGCGAGUAAAGACAUAUCUCGAAUAUACUGAGUGUCGAUUUUCUUUCUAAUGGAAUACUCUAGACCACCAGCGGCUAAGACAACUAGCUCGUGUUCGGGGACAUGGGUGAAACAUCGAGAUUUAAGCAUCCUAAACCUGUUGAGGUAAUCAUCAAUUGACUCUGCUGGCUUUCUUUUGACACUAGCCAAAUCUUUCAAACUCACCUUGCACUCUCCCCUAAAGAACUGCUCAUGGAAAAUCCUUUCCAAUUGGGCCCAUGUAUGGACUGACCUAGGAGCGAGGGUGGUGAACCAGGUAAAUGCAUUCUUAGUUAGAGAACUUGGGAAGUACUUCAUUUUUAAAUUUUCAUUGAUGGCUAAGUCCCCUGCUUCGAUUUGGUACCUAGCUAUGUGUUCUACAGUGGACUCUCCUGAAUCCCCCGAGAACUUAGUGAAUUUGGGGACCUUCCAGCCUCGAGGAAGUUCUGAUUCGAGAACCUCCUCUGUAAAGGCCGACACAAAAUGAGGUCUAUUCGCGAAACCUACGUUGAAGCCAUGUUGGUUCAACAAUUGUUCUACUACGGCAGCAACAUUUUGUUGCCCCCCAGCAUUCUGGUGUCGAAUUCUUUCUAACACAUCAUCAGCAUGUUCUUCCCUGUUCACCAUGUACACAUUUUGCAACGGUGGCUGCACUGCCUCGUUCCCCCUAAAUAAAGGGUUUGCCCCCAUAUCUUGGUGUUGUGGCACUUGAUAGCGCACAGGGGCGGGGUUAGGCAAUGGGAUUUGGUUAAUCCCUGGUGCUGGUUGGAUUUCGACUGGUGCCCCUAGGGCUGUCGCCAAACGAUCCAUCUGACGUGCCAAAUGCUGAUUAUUGGCAUUAUUAUUUUGGAGCACUGGAUUAAGUAGUUCACCUAUCUGUCGAGAUAACAUGUUAACCAUUUCAUGGUUACUAUCAUCUACUUGCUGCCUAAUGGCUUGAAGUGAACCAGUAUUCAUACCUGUAGAUAAAUAAAUUUGUGAACUAGAUCCAGGGAUAGGAGGGCUAACUCGACUCCCCAAAUUUAGCAUUGUUCCAUUUGCCCCAAAAGGGGGUAUGCUGAAUGGAGGAACAUUUUCAGGGAACGUCGAAUACGUGCCUUGUAUGCCUUGCAUCAUAGACGUAGGCAUACCAUAAGGCAUGUUUUCCCUCGUAACCGUUGGAACAAUUUGUGCCUGUACAGAUGUAGAUACAGGCAUUUCUGCAACUGCAGAAAUUGCUACAUUCUGGGUUGGCAUAGUGGUGCCAUGCCCCAUUCCAGUAUACACUUCUUCAUUAUUGUUACCGCUACUUCCCCCGGGGCUACUCUGAUUACCCACGUUAGACCCUUGAGGGGAGGUUCUUCCUCGAUUACUUGCCAUACUCACAGUCUUACCACUUCUCAGGUGCAUAUAAAACGUAAAUCACAACCAGGGCAAGUAACAAAUACCAAGUAGCAUGCAGCAAACAAAACACACAAAACGCUUCUGUAAAACUUAGUUUUCACAAAAACUGUCCCACUGGGCGUGCCAAUUUGUUUACGUGGAUUUUUGGUAAACAAAUAUCCUCUUAGUUCGACUAAAGGAAGUUUAGAUUCAGGGUCCUUUUGAGAAAACGCUUUGCCAAAGUAUUGUGUGUGUGUGUGUGUUUUUCGACAAAAACGAAUUGGUUUAGACAGAACUGAAUUUCAUUAAACACGGGUCAAUUACAAAGGAGUCACAUACAUAAAAUAACACAAAAACUAACAAGAGAUGUGAAUCUCGACAAGAAAAUGCAUAAAGGAACUGGGAAUUAAAUAAGCUUAAACACGAGAAAACUAAAGCGUUGGUUCUGCAACAUACUCCUCCAUCAUCACGUUGUGCUCCUUGAGUCUCAUUGAUGUGGACAUUUGGAGCUUUUGGUGAAUUUUCAGAGUUUGAGUUGGGAACCCUUUUUUCUGCUGCUGCUUCUUCUAUUUAUAGUGCUGUUCCUGCCCACGUUCUUGGCGGUUUUUCUUGGAUGCAUGAUGGCUUCGUGGGUUUUGAAUUUUGGCGCCAUGUCCCACGUUUAGCCGGUGGUCUUCGCGCACGUGACUCUAUUGCCACGUGGAUGGUUUUGAGUCGUGGGCAACCGUUGCUAUUCGUGGCAUCGUGGGUAUAUGCACGUGCUUGUAGUUGCUUGUUACUCGGUAACUGCCUCUUCCAUUAAGAUGAUCGAGAUUUCUUCAUCUGCUGAGUUUGUUGAGAUAUAGCUCUCACUAACUUGACUUUGAGGGACACCGUGUGCUGAGUUGCCGAUUUCGCCAUAACCCUUUCUGUCUAGAUCCUACCUCCAUGGUGUCGAGAGUCGUAGUACUCGUAAUUUUUAGCUUAACAAAUAGCAUUCGGAAUAUUUAUAAAAAUGAAAUUACAAUUUUUAAUUUGAAGUUUCUUACAUUUGAAAAAUUUAAGAGCUAGAGAAUAUGAGUUUGUGUGGGAAAGUAUAGGGAUCAAUCAAUGCAUGAUGCAAUUUAUUUUGCUGAAAACUCUGAAACUGCCUUUAAAAAAAUACUCUCUCAAACUGAAUAUCGAUUUGGGUGACAACGUUUUAAAUAAAGUCCAAAACAGAAAUAGAGGAGGCAAAUUAAAUGAAUCAGUGAUCUUCAACAAGUUGUGGGCUGCCAAAGCUCCCUCGAAUGCGUUAGCUUUAGCAAAUAAAGCACUAAUAGAUAGAGUCCAAUCCAAGACAAAGUCUUGCUCAAAGUUAUGCUCUUCCUAGCAGUGCCUCGAUUGUAUGUGGGCUUUGCGAGGAAGCUCCAGAGACAGUUAGUCAUCUAUUUCUAACUUGUCAAACUUCAUGGAAAUUAUGGUCAAGCAUUUGUGACUGGCUGGGCUCUCUUUGUGUGAUCUCGUCCAAUGCGGAGGAGUCAUUUGAUUUAGAACAUGUGUUGGAGGAUAUAAAGUGGGGAAAGUAUUGAAUCUGAUAUGGAUAGCAAUUGUGGGGGUAAUUUGGCAAUUAAGGAAUGGUGUUGUGUUCACACUUCACAGUUGUAGAUCUUAUUCAAUACAAAGUUUGGUUGUAGCUCAAGGUGAAAGAGAACCAGUUCUCAGCUUCGAUCUGUGAAUGGAUUACAAACCCGUUAACAUGUGUGGGUGGCCCAUUGUCGUUCAGGUAGUAUGUUUGCUGACUCAUGUGCCUGCCCAUUGUUUGUUGUCGAUGAUUAUCUCUGGUGGUUCUAUAGUGUGAAGGUUAGGUGGGCGCUGCCCUGUUAAUUUUAUGACUUAUAUAUAGGUAGGCACUUGCUUUUGUAGUCCCAAUCUUUGGCUUAGCCGCCAAGUGGAUAUGAUUUCUAUUGUCUAUUUCCAUUGUAUUACGAGUUGGGGCACUCCUUGUGCUCCCGUUAAUACAAUCUUUGACUUAUAAAAAAACAAGUCUAACCGCAUUGAAGCUAUAUGGGACUUUAGUGACAACGAUCUCAUAAAAAAAGACCAAAAGAUCCCUCCAUGUCGCGUUGUUCGAAGAGUUUCUUCUCUUCUCUCAUAGUAUACAAAUAGGGUCUUAUGUCUGGCUUUGUACUAAAAGCCAUUAACAUCGUAUUUUGGUCAAGCAAAAUUUCAGUAUAUUUGCAGCACUCGCUGGAUAAUUUCAUUUUUUAACCUCGAGUCUAUUUUUUUUAUUGUUAAGCUAAACUCCUCUUCCCCCACGAGCUUUGCUAUUUCACUAUUACUUUAAGGACUCCUUCUUCCUUGAGAUUGUGGAAAACAUUUUACCCGAGCCCCAUAGGGGGCGACUAUAUUCACGUCGUGAACCCUAAGAUGUGGUAGAGCACACACAACUCAAACUCAUAUCUACAAGAAUACAAGUAAACAUGUGAUCUACAUUUCAUACAUUGCCUUUAUAGAACAAUACGUUAAUUAGUACACAACAACUGAUCACAUAUGCUUCACCUCAAUCGUGAACUUUGUUUUUCCGGUGUCGUUAGGACACAAUCGAAAUUUAAGGUUGAUGGCAUGAUCCCUUCAAAUUCAGUCGAGUGUUCCCUAAUUGCUCUCGGCUGGACCCUUAUAUAAAAUGGGCUAAUUUGCGACUUCAUAUGAGGCCAUAUAUCUAAGCUGUUAGUUGGACACAGGUCAACCACUGAUAAAAAAACAAAUUCAGAGCAAUCUUUUCAAGAAAUAGGUAGUAAAAUUUCAUUUUCCUUUUAGGCUAAUAUAUAGAGGCGAUCAGAAAAGUCAAAAUCAAUAUAUAUUAGAAAAGAAGAACUUCCAUAGUGACGUGUCAGCACCAGAUUAAUUCUUAGUGACGUGUCAGCACUAGAUUAAUUCUCAUAAAAAUUAUUCCACGUGUCAAUUUGUUAGAGGAUAUAAUUUUCAAUUGAUAUAUGUUUUAAUUUUAUAUUUUCUAACCUAAUUAAUUGAUAUUAUUUUAGAAGAUAUAAUUUUCAAGUGAUAUAUAUUUUAAUUUUAUAUAUUCUAAAAUAAUUGAUUGAUAUUAUUUUAAAAGAUAAGAUUUGGUCUUUUAAUUUAUUUCAAAUUUAUUUUUAGAAUAUAUUGAUUAAUUUUUAUUGAAUUUUCGAAUUUUUAAUUAAUGCAGGAUUUUAUGAGUUUUUAUUGUGAUUUUCUAAAUUUUGAUAGUUUUUAUCUAUCCUUAUUUAUUGUUUAUUUUUAAUUUUAAUUUCAUGAAAUAUUUUAUUUUAUUUUUGAGUUACUUUUAGAGUAUAAAUGAAUUUUUAUGGUAUUUUUAUUGAAUUUUCAUAUUUUUAUUUAAUUCAGGAUUUUAUGAGUUUGUUAUUGUGAUUUGCUAGAUUUUGGUAGUUUUUAUCUAUCUUUAUUUAGUACCUUUUUAAAGUUUAGAUUUGAUUAGGAUUUAGGUUGUUUAUUUCUUGAUUUUAUCUUAAUUUAUCUUAUUAUUUAUUUAAUGUUAAUUCUAAGAAAAUGGAGUUGAUUUGGUGCUGAGGGUACACAAAGCUACCAUGGACACGCAGAGAUCUGAUAGCUGCUAUUUUUACCUCUGCCACAUGUCGCGAUCAGGACAGAGGUAUGUCGUAAUAUGAUGUUACGUGAAGAAGAGUUUAUCAUGUUGUGAUUGAUGGUUUGUGCCAUUUCAGUUCAUCAUUUGUUCGUAAUUCAAUCCUGGAUUCUUAAAUUUCACAUAUUUUGUGUGUUUUGAUCCAAAAGUUUACAAAUUUUUGCAUAGACCCUUUGACGAAUCAUUGUUGAAGACGUAAUGUUUUGAUUCUGAUGUAAUGUUUUUUCUAUUGUUCUUCUUCUGCUUUUGUAUUUUUUAAACCAGAUUUUAGUAUAGUUUGUAGAAAUCCAUACGUGUGAAACCAUUCUAAACCAGAUUUUGGUAUAAUUUAUAUAAAUUUACGAAACUUAGGAUAGCCUGAAUUUAUAUUCAUUCUCAAAGUUUGCCCGUUUUUAUUCUUCAUGUUUGAGCUGUGUGUUUAAGCAUAUUAUUUGCACUGUAUGUGAAUGAUGCACAACUUACUAUUUUUUUUUAAUUAUGCACAUGUCAGGCAAAUUGAUGAAAGCAUAUGUAGAGCUUACAUUUAAUCUUCAUGAGUAUGUUUAGCUCAUUCUUAAGGUUGGUUCAUGUUUUCCUCAAACUCAUUAGUUUUGCAUAUACUAAUGUUUUAGUAUGUCAAUUGAGUGACUUAUCUUACUUUGCUCUAUAUAUUUCCUUAAGUUCAAUUUAAAUUGAUUGUUAGUAUAAGUUUAUUGGUGAAGUAACCACAAUUAUUUUGGGUGGGAGAAUUAUUUUGUUUUUUUCACAUAUAUAGAUAAUUUGUUGGGGUGCGCACAUAUGGGGCAAUACACAAUUUUUUGUUUCUCUUGACUGAAAUGUGCCUUUGAUUUUUUGUUUCACAAGGGUUCCACCCCAAGAUUCACAAAUACACUAAAUACAAUUCUUUCACCACAGUCCUUUCAAAUUGGUGAAGGAGUGUAUUUUAUUCUUCAAGACUUCAUUUUGGGUUUCUGUUUCAAUCUUCUUCAUGAAUUGAUUUUGUUCUUCAACUAAUUGUAAGAUGUCAUAUGCUUCAAGGAUUCCUGCUUUUCUCUUCUUAAUCAAAAGCAAAAAGAUUGAGGAAAAGAAAAUCUUCUAGGGUGCAGAAUAUUUACUAAUUGGAAAAAAAAAUAACACAUGUCAUUCUCAGAUUAAUUCUCAUAAAAAAAAAUACAUUUUAAAAUUUUAGACUUGAUUAGGAUUUAUAUUGUAUAUUUCUUGAUUUUAUCUUGAUUUAUUUUUAGAGUAAAAAAAAUAUAUUUUUAAAUUUGAUUAGGAUUUAGGUGGUUUAUUUCUUGAUUUUAUCUUAAUUUAUUUAUUAUUUAUUUUUAGAGUAUUAAUUAAUAUAUUCCAAACUUUUUUUAAAAAAGAGUGAGUUUGAAACCUAUAGCUUAAGUUAAUUUUUUAAUAUAUUCCUAAAUAAUAAUAAUAAUAAUAAUAAUAAUAAUAAUAAUAAUAAUAAUGAUAACAUAUGUGUGCAGAUAUGGGCCGGUUGGGUACUAUAGUGCCCAUACCCGCACCCAUACCCACUAUUUUUUGCAGGUAAUUAUCUAUAUUCAACCUCAUAUCCAUUUAGCGGUUUUUUACCAUACCCAUAGUGGGUAUUUUUUGCGGGUACCCUAUGAUUUUGAGACCCAUUGUCAUCCAUAGAUUUAGAUUUUGGCAAAGAUGGAUAGCUUCCUGUAAUGACAUUGAAUUGUCUAAAGGCGGGGAGUUUCGAGUUGCUACCCACGUGAGUAUGGAGACGAGUACAUGUAAUUUUUAAAAACGCGGGUAUGGAGAUUGUACUAUAUUACCUACCCAUUGUCAUCCCUACUUAGUUGGAAUAAACACAAUAAUGUUAUACUUUAUGAUAUAUCUUACACAAUCCUGAUUUGUGCUACUAUCACAUUAAUUUUUUUUUAAGAUUAAUAUGUUGAUAAUUCCUUAUAUCUAUGAUUUGUGUUAUCGUCUUCAUAUUUACGAAGAAUGUGAAACGAGUUCCUCUUGGUCUCAAUCGAGCUUAGAAGAGAAGUCUUUAUCUCCACUUUACUCAUCAAUUCUGACUUUUCUAUUUCAUUCGUUGUUUAAUAUAUUUUUAAUAAUCAAAGUAUUAAUUAAUGUAUCAAAUACAAUAGACAUAUUUCCCGUGCAACGCGCGGGUAAAAAACACUAGUUUAAUUUAAAUUGAUAAAACAAAACCAUUGACAUGAAAUUGCUUUUAUUAGUAAAGAUAUGUAUAAGUGUAAGGAGUUAGGUGUUGCAAUCUCUAUUAGCUUGUUCGAUGAUUCUCAAGCAAAGUCAACACAAAAAAAAAGUCCUUUUCUAAGUCAAGUGGUUCAUAAACUGAUAAAAGUUCUGGGACGCUUGUUUCAAUCUUCAUUACUUCAUUUUGGCUUGCUCGUCUAAUUUACGUGUUUCUGCAGGUACUUCCUACCUACUUUAUUUCCCCUUAUUUUCCUCGAUUAAAAGUUGUGUAAAACACAGGUUUUCGAAAGAUUAACUAUCUAUUGGUCAAUCUCAAUAGGCACACAGCAUUUAAACACGGUACCCUUGAUGAUACUCUGCUACUAAAUCAAUUCAAUUGAAAGAAACAUUGUGAACGUUGAAAAAAAUCGCUUUCAAUAUUUUUAAUUCACUUUUUUUGUAUCUGAUUUGCGUUCUGUUUUUAAUAUUUUCCAAAUUUUGUUGUUGCUUGCUAAAUACUUCCCACUACUAUAUUAUUAUCGCCCUUAUAAUUAUUCAUGCUGAUUCAUCUUGCGAAGACACCACGUGUUUCAUAGGCUAGUAGACAAGGAUCCUGGUGAUAAUUGAAAAUGCUAUAUAUUUAGUCAUAGGGCCGCCAGGCUUCUAUAACUAAAGUCAAUGCAAAUCAUAUGUGAAUGAUUUGUUUAUGUAAAAAAGAAAAACGUUAGUUAACCUAACCUCUUUAUUCAAUUAAAGUAUAAUUCGUAUCCUUUUCUGAUACUUAUUGCUAAGAUAACGUGAAUAGAAAGAAACUACAAAUAGAUAAUAAUGACACUGAAAAUUAUUAUAUCUGUACCCACUAAUUUUAUAUUUAUAGUUUUUUUCUCACAACAUAUGUAUAUUGGUAAUUUGGAGGCAUUAAAAUUCAAAUUACAUAUAGUUAACUUAUACAUGCAAAUAGAUAUCGACAAAACAAAAAUCUCAUAUGAUUCACCCUAAAUCCAAAUUAGUUAGUGAAAUCACCAUAGCAUCUAAUUUAUACAAAGUAGGCUAGGAAAACGCUUAAUAGUACCCCCCACACCCCACCCACCCCACCACUCCACAAGAUAGACAACAAGCAAGAAACCAAAAGCAUUGUCCACUCCAUAUAUACAUAAGAUUCUUAAAAUUUAUUAAGUCAGAGUAAAUUUAACUUCAGCAAGAAUAUAAUUUAUGCAAAAGGUUACUAAAAGUUGUGAACACAUAAAUAUAAUCUAUCUUUUUGUAGAAAAAUAGUCAAGUAUAAAAAUCAAUGCUUUGUUUUCGUUGCUUUUACAAUGAAGAGGAAAUCACUUUACAUUUUAGUGUGGCAUACUAUUAAAUAAAGAAGGAGGUUAAAAAUAGGCUAUUAGAGAAGUUUUAUAUUACUAAUGUGGUGGUAACUCUAACUUAAAUGAGAGAAUGUUAAGAACUCAAGUGUGAGUAGGAGCAUCAUGUUGGUUAAAUAUGAGUAAGAUAAAAACUUUAUAAGAGAUGUGACUCAUGAAUCCGAUGCCUUAAAAUUUUAGGUUAAGGCGUGGUGUCGGAUUCUUUUGGUGUCUUGUAUCCUUGGCCCAUUGGCUUCUCUAUCUCCCCAUCAAGUCGUAUCAGAUUCGAUGGUUGGUAUAACCACGGUGAGACUCCUUGUAUCGAAAUUCUUACUAGCGGUGUGACUAGAUGGCGUUUCCCGUUGAUGUGGUGAAGCGAACGACGGUGCAAGUGUGAAUAGCUUUCGCGGAGGGGGAGCAUAGUAAUGAACAAAAUGUUAGAAUAUAAUAUAAAAUCAUUUAUUUGACCCUUACCCAACAACUUAACCUUUUAGGAUAAUGGUUGUUUGACAUGAUAUCAGGGCCUUUAUGACCAAGCAGCCCAAAGUUCGACCCAUGCCGCCCCAAUCCUUCUAAGUUUAAUUUCAGCACAUGGUAGAUGAGCAUGUGCACUGCCCACACUUCAAGCCCAAAGGGCUCUUGCGUGAGGGGGCGUGUUAGAAUAUAAUAUAAAAUCAUUCAUUAGACCCUUACCCAAAAGCUUAAGGUGUUGGGUAUGUAAGACUCAAAUUAAUGGUUUUAUAUUAUAUCCUUUUGGGAUAGCUGUUUGCUUUACACAAAAAAUAAUGUUUAUAUAGUUUAACAAUAAAAUUUGGACAUAUAGAGUUUGAUAUGAGUUGUAACUGAAGCAUUUAACCCUAGUGAAACUAUUGUGAAUAACUUCAGAGAUUAUGUCUACACCUGAGCAUCCCUCAAGGUUUAGGGUUCUGUUUCUACUAGACUAAUUGCUAUGCCAAAUGUAGUCUAUCCUUUUCUUUUAUCCUAACUAAUCAAUACGUCUUUCAUUUGAAUUCUCUCUCCUUUCCACAAAGAUUGUUGUUUAAGGUUGUGACACAAAGAGUAAGAUGAAGAUUAUUGAUAAUAUAAUGUUACUAAAGCACCCUUAUUCAAUUGGUUUUUUUGAAAGAAAAAAAAAAGAAUAUUAUUGAAAGAGAGAAGGAAACCCCUAAAAAAAGGGCCAAGCUAUACAAACCCUUAUUCAAUUGUAAUAGUUCCAUGUACAACUAUUAAAUUUAUACUUAGAUAGAGAAGAAUGUAGUUGAUAGAGAUCACUUGUGGUUGGUUGAUAUGAAAUGUGAUAAGUGAGAGAAAAAUUAUUAAAUGAAGGUAUAAAUUGAAAAAAAAAAAAACUAGCAAAAAAUGGGCCUUUAUGAACAUGGUACAAUUAAAUUAUACUUAGAUAGAGAAGAACAAUAUGCAAUUGAAAGCGCAUGCCUAAAACAAUAAUAUUUCUAGAACAGAGGGAGUAUAAAUCUUCUGACUCGAUCAAGCGCGAUCAGUGGAACUCGAGGCCCGAGCUGAUUGUGCUUGGCCUACCAUACUUAGUGUCGGGCGUAUCGAGUGCCAGCUGGAGGUUAAAUCCGAAUCACCUCAACUAGGACUGUUUAUGGUUCGGUUCUUUGCUUGAACCGAACCGAACCUGAACCAAAAUUUUGUUUCGAGAGAACCGAACCGAUAUAGUAUGGUUCAAACCGAACCGAACCGGUUUCAAAUUUCGGUUAACCAAUUCGGUAAAACAUGCAUAUUUAUAGAUGGUUCGAACCGAACCGAUAUACUAUGGUUCGAACCGAACCGAACCUGAACUGGUAGUUGAUAUUUUGGUUCGGUUACCGAACCGAUUUUUCAAUUUAGGUUCGAGUUCGGUUUGGUUCUUAAAGGUUCGGUUCUUGAACGGUUCGGUUUUCGGUUCGGUUCUUGGUUAGCUUCGGUUCUCAGAGAACCAUGAACUGUCCUAACCUCAACCAUCUCAUCGCUGACCCUGGACACUAAUUACAAAGGGCUAGGAAUAAGACUCCAGGUUUAAUCCAUGUUUACUAUAUAGGAACCCUUGACCGUUGGAUCUCUAGAGACAACAGGAACCUCAGAAGGAUCCCACGGUGUGAGAACACCCAAAACCUAGGCACUCAUGACUUCACCUAGAGCCACCCUAGCCCCUCUGACAGGUAUAUAAGGCUCCCUCGCUAAGAGCCUCCCCAAGGUAUUCAUCAUUCUGACACUCAGUGACGGAUUCAGAAAUUUAAUGUGGUGAGGGCAAUAUAUACAUGUAAAUUCGUAAAAAAAAAUUAACAUAUACUAUUAAAAAAGUUAUGGAUUUUUUUACCAAAGCGGACACAAGUGAAAGCAUUUUUCACCAAAGAGGUAAUCAAAAACCAGACUUUUACUACUCAAGUGAGGGCAUUUAACAAUGUGAGACACAAGUGAGGGCAUUAUUUACCAAAUAAACCAUAAAAAAUCACAUACAUUUUCUACUCAAAUUUUUUUCUAAUGAUUUUUUCAAAAGCCAAGUGAGGGCAUAUGCCCUCAUGCACUCCAACGUGCAUCCGUCCCUGCUGACACUUAAAGUUUUCUCAACUAUCUUCCCUGAAUUAACUUAGAUAUCAGAAUGUUUUCGCAGGGACACCACCCGAGCUCAACUAAGGUGCUCGAGCUCAAAAUCCCUCCGUUCAUCCCGUCCAAGGUGUCGCACCCCCCUCUCUCCAUAGCUCAGCGUUCCAUCGUUUCCUUCUCCUUCCACCCCUCCCCAGAUGUUUUGGUCGUUCCCCUAAUCUAGUGGAAGCAACCAAUACCUGGUCAUAAAUUAUCAAAUAUAAAAUGUGAAACUUGAUUAUCUCAAGAUGGAAAACUUUAAACAGUUUAAAGACAUGAAGAAUCCACGGCUGAAGCGUCCAAACAUAAAACUGUUGCAGAACAUGAAAAAUUGAACUGGAAGAAAACUAGAGUCCAAUUGAACUUUAGAUGAAAAUGAUGCGAUAAUGUACUAUAUAGGAGAUAAAGAAUUGGAAUUGUUCGUUUGGUUGCAUUAGAAUGAAAAACCAUUCCCAUGUUUGUUUUGUUUUAUCCCUAACGGGAGAGGGUGCCCCCGUAAUACGUGCUGCCACGCUGGCUUUACCCUUGAGUUGAGUGUUAUGGUACUUACACAUCAGACUGAUCAGAGUGACAAACGGAGAGGACGAUACUGGCUCCAGAUUUCAACGCUUUUUUAUUUACUGCCUUGCCUUGAAUAUUGUGUUGUUGAUUCAGAGAUUCACACAGCAACGAAAGCGAAAGUGGGAAAGAAACAACACGUAAAUGUCAAAUCCCUUGCACCUUCAACCCAGCCUGGCCUCUUUUUUCCAAUCAUAUUGUUUUUCUAUUGCAAGUCAUACUUAAUUUCAAGGACGUACACCCCCAUUUUUAUUUCAUGUCCCCUUUCCUUCUAAUAAAUCAUUUUAAUUUCUCCUUAAUUAAAAUCCAAUUUUUGGUCGUAAAAACUAAACUCAACCAGGUAUAACACAAUUGGUAGGUAGAUGAUUAAACUAUUUAAGCAUUGAGUUGAGAAUUCAAUCCUGGUAUAUAGUUGACUUAGUGCCUGUUUAAUUUGUAGAACAAAUGUGAAAGUGCUUUCACCCAACUGAUGUACAUAACCUCUUUUACGUUUGAGAUUUGAGAAUGUGUGAUUUCGAAUUUCAAUGCCCAAACGGACCAUCAAACAAAAAAUCAAACACAGUUUUAUUUAAGUAUACGACUGAUAAAUAGUUGACCUAUUAAAAAAUACAACUCGUAAAUAGUUGAACUAUUUAACCAUCUAUUUCAUAAUUCAAUCAUUAGAUAGUAUGUAUAGAGAAAAAUUUAUUAAGAGACGUCUACACACUUAAUAUAAUUUUAUAUUCUCGAAAAAAUAGUCCCAAAUCAAUAUAUAAUAGUAUCUUGGUAAAAAAUAACAGACCUCGGAAUACAUUCAUUCUCACCCACAUGGCUUGUUUGGUUGUUCACGUGCCUGGUAGGGUUUGUGUUUGUUGUAAUUAUUGAUUAAAAAAUUAAAAACACAAUUGAUGAAGAGGUAGAGGAGUGGUUGUAAAGCAAGAAAUUAAAAAGAUGAUCUAGCAAACUUUUUGAAGGAGCUUUUUGUGGCGCGCAAGUCAAUUUUAUGUCUUGGAGUGAGUGGGAGGGACUAAGAAGAGACAGGAGUCACUGUAUUCAAAAAUUCUAACAGUCUGCCAACUAAAAACAAACGUACAAAGCUAAAAGCUUCAAAGCAAACCUUGCUUACGCGGGUUCUGACCAGUGGCAUUGCUGUCAGAUACAAUUAGUACUAAAUAAAAAGAUUAUUCAUUAUAAAAAAUAUUUAGAUACUUAAGUGUAAGUUCUUUUUCAUGUACCAAAAAUUCAUUUUCAUAUGGAUUGAAUAUUUUAAUUUUCAUAUACAAAUUGUUUUUAAAAAUAGUUUUUGAAACAUGUUUUUAAAAGAAAAAAAUUAAAACUGUUUGAACUUUGAAGUUUAAACAAAUAUGUUUUUUUAUACAUUGAAAAAUAGACAAGAAAACCCAAAAGAACUAAGGAACAACUAACACAUCCUUCAACGGGGUAAAUUAUAACACUCUGGUUCAGGAUGAUAAACAACUCGCACACCAGGAAAUGCCGAUCACAAUCUGUAUUUGGUAAGCCAAUCCGCAGCAGUGUUAGACGAUAUGUUUUUUAAGCUGAAUUAUAUUUGAAAAUUAAAAAUAGAAACAGAAAACAUAACUAACAUGUUUUGAGAUUUCAGUUUUAAAAAAUAAAAAAUUUAUAUUUUGAAAUCAAAUUUGAAAUUUUUUUCUAUCAAACGAUUUAUUUUCUAGGUUUUAAAAACUAAAAACUAUUGUACGACACCUAAUGAAAUAGACAUUUUUUGGUACAUUGGAGAGAUAAAUUGCACCCGACAAGAAUCGAACCCUAAACCUCCCACCCAAUCCAUAUGUCCUCCAGCUCCUACUAUUUGAGGUAUCCUACGGGACUAAUGAAAUAGACCUUAUGAAUUCUUUGAGUGAUCUACAAACAUGGGAAAUAAAUUAAAUUAUAAGAUAAAAGUAAAUACUUAAAAAAGAAAAGAAAAAAGUAAAUGAGUUUGUUUGAAAGAAGGAUAUAUUUAGGAGAGAGAGACAGAGAAAAUAUUAGUGUCACACACUUAUAGGAACUUUUACUUUUCAAUUUUUUUAAAGGUAAAUAGACUUUAUUUUGAUGAAAUAAGCUUNNNNNNNNNNNNNNNNNNNNNNNNNNNNNNNNNNNNNNNNNNNNNNNNNNNNNNNNNNNNNNNNNNNNNNNNNNNNNNNNNNNNNNNNNNNNNNNNNNNNNNNNNNNNNNNNNNNNNNNNNNNNNNNNNNNNNNNNNNNNNNNNNNNNNNNNNNNNNNNNNNNNNNNNNNNNNNNNNNNNNNNNNNNNNNNNNNNNNNNNNNNNNNNNNNNNNNNNNNNNNNNNNNNNNNNNNNNNNNNNNNNNNNNNNNNNNNNNNNNNNNNNNNNNNNNNNNNNNNNNNNNNNNNNNNNNNNNNNNNNNNNNNNNNNNNNNNNNNNNNNNNNNNNNNNNNNNNNNNNNNNNNNNNNNNNNNNNNNNNNNNNNNNNNNNNNNNNNNNNNNNNNNNNNNNNNNNNNNNNNNNNNNNNNNNNNNNNNNNNNNNNNNNNNNNNNNNNNNNNNNNNNNNNNNNNNNNNNNNNNNNNNNNNNNNNNNNNNNNNNNNNNNNNNNNNNNNNNNNNNNNNNNNNNNNNNNNNNNNNNNNNNNNNNNNNNNNNNNNNNNNNNNNNNNNNNNNNNNNNNNNNNNNNNNNNNNNNNNNNNNNNNNNNNNNNNNNNNNNNNNNNNNNNNNNNNNNNNNNNNNNNNNNNNNNNNNNNNNNNNNNNNNNNNNNNNNNNNNNNNNNNNNNNNNNNNNNNNNNNNNNNNNNNNNNNNNNNNNNNNNNNNNNNNNNNNNNNNNNNNNNNNNNNNNNNNNNNNNNNNNNNNNNNNNNNNNNNNNNNNNNNNNNNNNNNNNNNNNNNNNNNNNNNNNNNNNNNNNNNNNNNNNNNNNNNNNNNNNNNNNNNNNNNNNNNNNNNNNNNNNNNNNNNNNNNNNNNNNNNNNNNNNNNNNNNNNNNNNNNNNNNNNNNNNNNNNNNNNNNNNNNNNNNNNNNNNNNNNNNNNNNNNNNNNNNNNNNNNNNNNNNNNNNNNNNNNNNNNNNNNNNNNNNNNNNNNNNNNNNNNNNNNNNNNNNNNNNNNNNNAAGCUUCUGCAGAUUAUUCUUUUAAUAUGCCAGGCCACUCUUCUUUCCAUUCGCUCUGCAUAAGCAAAAUGCCUAAUGCACAACUUUGGAGAACAAUUCAAAGUUCCUAAUUUCCGUUAUGUCCUAACAUGCAAUUAUUGCAUAAAGAAAGGGAAAAAAGGUAAAAGGUUUGAAAGACUUACCAAAAUGGAAGAGACAUGAAGAUCUUAAAGAGAAUUGACUUGUGCAUCCUGGAGUAGGUAAUAACAGUGAGUUCCAAAGAAUAACCCUCAACAAAUAUAUGUUAAGAAAAGGAAAGGUGAAACGACGCUCUUAAUCCCACAAUUUAAAGACAACGAACAAGGAUAAAGACGAUUUGUCACCUCCCAAGCAAGGGCAAAUAUGAUAUUUCGUAUCCUGAAAAUAGUCUUGUGCCAUGUCUAGGAAAUCGAGUUGAAUCAAUCCUCACCCAUCUAAAAGCCACAUGCUUGUCAGUGGCCUGCGGCUUGGCACGCUAGAUGCCUGAUUUGACUUAAAAAGUUAGGCCUACGCUUUUUAAAAAGCUUAAUGAACUAAAAAGACUAGGACCAAGCUAUCAAAAAAGAAUAUCUGGCUUCAUAUGCCAGUUUUUUUUUUUUUGUUUACAUGAGGAAUUGAAAAACAUAAACAAAACUACUCUACUUCAUUUUGCAACAGUAAGGGAUUCAAGUUGAAGGGUGGGAGGUGCCAAGUACGACACGACGAGCCAUCCCUCGCAGCCUGACGGGCCAACAAAUCCGUUGCAGUGUUGCUACCUCGAGGAAUAUGAACCAUGAGCAACUUCCAGUCCCUCCGGAGAAGCGCGCGAACCCUCUCGAUGUCCUCACGUGCCCAGAAGCUAUCAGCAACCACCAUGGAGUGAAGAACAUGUUGCACCCCUGAGCAAUUCGUGCAGCAGACAACAUCCUUGAAUCCCAAGUCCCAACAAUGCUUCAGGCCCUGCUCAAAGGCUAAGAUUUCCGCAACAAACGUUGUGCUCGUACCAAAGCUCAUUGAUAGCCCUGAAACCCAAUUCCCAAACACAUCUUUGACAAUAAUUCCACAGCCCAUCCGUAGUGUAGCGGGAUUCCAGCUGCCAUCCACCAUCACCCGAACUGAGCCAAGAGUGUACACCGCGUGAGGGGCCUGCUGCAUCACCGCCAUGGACGUCCUCGUCGCCAAGUUGCCACGUCCAAGAGAAUCUUCCGCAGCACCACGUUGAGAGGCCAAGGUUCUGCACUAAACACGCCUUAAUUCUGCUAUCGCCAUGUCCACCAAAGGAUUGCCGCUGCCAGGAGAUGAUCUGUGUGAGAAACAACCCUCCUAAACCAAAUCUGGAACGGUUCAGCAUCCCGCAGAGGUGGAAGUUGGGCUCCAAAGUGGUCCCAAAGCUGUCUCGAGCUCGCACACAUCCUGAAAUAUACUUUAGAAACUCUAACACCAAAAUAAUAUACUAUUUGGUUUUCAUGUUUAUACAAGGCUUAAUAGCUAUUUUGGUCUCUCACUUGUCACGAUUUUACACUUUUGGUCCCUCUAGGAAAAAAAUAGCAAAAUUAGUCCCUCACAUUUACACACUUUUACCGUUUUAGUCCAAAUAGGGAUCAUUUUCGCAAACAAAUAAGCAAUGUGGAGGACCAAAAGUGCUAAUUUUUUUAUUGGGGACCAAAAGUGCAAAAUCGUGAUAAGUGAGGGAUCAAAAGAGCUAUUAAGCCUUUAUACAAAUCACAUACCACUUCCUUUUAGUUGUGUUUGUUUUAAAUAAGUGAAGGUUUUAUUCUUUAAAAUGUAAUGAUAUACAGAUAAAUUUUAUUAUUUGAAAAUGAAAUGCAAUUGUAAAAGACAUAUUAGCCCGCUAGUCUACUAGACCAUGGCUUACGGCCUGUGGCUGGCCCAAAGACCUUCUUUAGAUGUAAUUGUUUGUUAAAUAAGUUUUAAGCAGGCUUGUAGGCCAAGACAAACCUUUUAAUAGGUCAGACCAGACAUUAAAAUUCGGCUUGUGAAAAAAUUGCAGGCCAGGUUUGGACCAUGAAGAGAAAAUGCAGGCUAAGUUUGGAUCACACAAAACUUGGCUUGACUUGACUUAUUUCCACACUUAUCCAAGACUUUAAAAUCAAGCUUGUUAAGCCAUUGAUCUCACAAAUUACUCCCUCCGGUCCUUUUUAUAAGAAACGCUUUGGAGAUUUUUCUUGGUCCUUUUUAUAAGAAACAUUCUUAUAAAAUUAAGUCAAAUAAUCAAUACCAAUGCAAAGGGACUUAUUCCCAAUAUAAAAAUAUGGAGGGAAAUUGCAAGCACCCAAUAUGUAUGAUCAACAUUUAUGGUAAUUAGCAUGACUGUUCUUGUAAAAAGGAAAAAAAAACAUCAUUGAAAUUAAGCAUAGUAGUUAAUUUUAUAAAAAAUAUUAGUUUUCUUAGUUUGUGUGAUUUUGUCCAAGUUUUUCUUAUAAAAAGGACCGGAGGGAAUAGUAGCAUUAAUUAAUAGGUGAAAUAAUGGCAACAUAAGUAUGGAUGGCCAAAUAAGCAUAAAGCUAUGUCAGCCACAAAUGACACCUAACUAGUUACCGAUACGUUGGACUUCAAUCCACCUCACGACUACUUUCUUCCACACCAACCUUCUUAACUUCUUUCGAAAUUUAGUUGGAUUUUAGUGUGCUACAUAAAAAUACAUGAUUCACCCAAUAGCACAAAUUAGUAACGGUUAAAAGUCGUUACUAUUAUACUGCCGGAAUCGUCACAAGUUUUUAAUUGAAAUAUUUCAUCACCAUAAAAUAUUUCUAACUGUAUCUACUUUGUAUUUUUUUACAUAGGAAAGAUUAAUUGUACUUGAAAUCUCCUGACCCGACCCAACUCGGUUACAUGUCGCUUAACUCUUACUACUUGAGCUAUUAUCAAUUUUCUAUUUUGUAUUUGAAAUUUUAUUACAUUCAUUUAAAAGUACUUUUUCUUCAAAUGUGAAUUUCAGUUGAAAGUAAUUUUGUUCUAACACGCACUAAUUCACGUAUUGUAUUAAAUAUAGUAGUACACAAGCAGUUGGUCUAGAAUAUCUUUAUGUUCAUUACCCUACAUUACUGGACAAAAUUAAAAUAUAGAUGUAAUGGUAAAUAAAGUGGAAUUAUUACAAUUAAUUCAAAAAUAGAGUACUUAUAUACUCAGACCAUAAAAGUGGGACAAAGGAAAAUGAUUAUUGACAAAACUGGUUCGUCCACGACCACGCACGACUUAAGUGUGCAUUGUUGAUUUAUAUAUUAAAUAAUUAUUUUCUCAUCCAUACAUCUAAGGUGAUUUCCGCCAAUUACCACAUACAAUGGGUCGUGGUGAUCGUGUUGUAAAAGUAACGUGUCAAAUAGCAACUAUGGUAAAAUAAAUACGCUAAGUCGCUAAUUUUGUGGCAGUUUUUACAGCACUUCUAAGUCGUUAGAUUUGUUUGUCUUCUUUUUAGAUAGUUUACAAAUUGUGACAGUUUCAUUGAUCAUAUAUGUCGAUUAAUGGUUGAGAUUUCAUAUGAUCAUAUAGACAUAGAUAGAUCACGGUCCCAUAAGCAUAAAAAAAUGUUGAACUCAAACUAAGGAUUUUACUUGGUUUUAGACACGUGGGAACCGGAAAUCAAACCGAUGCACUGACAUAAUAGUAAUUUUUUUGUUCAUCUUGUUUGGUUUUCAGUUUUUGGAUCAACUUAAGCGGUCUAGUUCAGUUUGGUUUGAUUACGACUUAUGAACACCUUUACUCAUGAGGAAUUAAAAUCAAUUCAAUAAUACUUAUUAUUUUACCUUCAAGUAAAUGUAAAAAAGUAAUAGAAAAUUAAUUACUUUAAUAAUUUUUAAAAGUAAUAAGAGAUAUUUUACUUAAAUCAAUUAAAAUUCUGAAAAAUUAACAUUAACCGAAACAAUGAUGAUAAAUAAAUCGUGAUGAUAAAAAUAUGUUUGAUAAAUUAAUGUAAAUUAAAAUAAAUUAAUAUCAUGUUUUUUUUAAAGUAAAAUUUUAUUGAAUUGAAAGGGAGGAAAUAAGUGUUCCCGACAAAUGGUACAAUACAAUGCUAUCAAAAACAAAAAGCAAUACAAACAACAUCUAAGGCACGAAAGCGAAACGCAAAAUCGCAAUACCAAACCUCUCAACCCAAAAGACACAAAAAAAAAAAAAAACAGAACCCCAUCA